This 58428-nucleotide long non-coding RNA is filed under the name Arabidopsis lyrata. RNAcentral describes it as "long non-coding RNA (ALYR_LNC002545)". Lineage: Eukaryota; Viridiplantae; Streptophyta; Magnoliopsida; Brassicales; Brassicaceae. The record is from RNAcentral.
GAUCUUGUUUUGUUUGAGAGGCUUACAAAAAGAGAUGAAAAACCACCAGAAAAGGAAUCUGAUAAGUCUUCACGAAAACAUAAUUAGUUCCAAAACAAUUCUACAACAAAAACAAAAGAGAGAAAAAUGUCUUUUUCUGGUUAUAGCUUCGUGGUAAUAACAUUAUCCUCCAUCGUCUUAACUCAAAUCUAUGGUUUGAGAAACUUUAACCGAAUGGACGAUCUCCAACCGGAAGAAACACUAGCGAUUCACAACCAGAUUCGAGCCGCGGUCGGGGUUGCUCCAUUGGUGUGGGACGAAAAACUUGCUGCCCAUGCACAGAGGUACGCUAACGUACGAUCCCAAGACUGUGCCAUGAAACAUUCCACUGAUGGAAUGUACGGCGAGAAUAUAGCCGCUGGGUGGGUCCAACCUAUGGACACCAUGAGCGGUCCGAUCGCGACAAAGUUUUGGUUGACGGAGAAGCCUUAUUACAAUUAUGCCACCAACAGAUGUAGUGAACCGUGUGGGCAUUACACUCAGAUUGUGGCUAAUCAAUCGACACACCUUGGUUGUGGUACGGUUAGGUGUUUUAAGAAUGAGUAUGUUUGGGUUGUAUGUAACUAUGCUCCUAGGCCCAUGGGUGAUGCCAAUACUCGUCCGUACUGAUCAAUACCGUAUAAUGUGACUAUUAUAGAAAAAUUAAGAUAAUGCGUUAUUAUAGGCACGAUUAUAUGCGACGUGGUUUGCAAUUUAGUAGUUUGUAUUAGUAUUGUUGAUGUCUCACUAUCUAGAUUCAAGUAUAAAUAAAUGCGUGUUUUGAGAUAAAAAUAAUAAUAACAUGUAAUUCGGAUUUUUUUUGGAAUAUAAAAUUCAUAGAGCAACCAAAUAGAAAACUUUACAAGCGGCAAGAAUAUAUUUGUUGUAUUUAUUAAUCUUUUAUAAUAUAUACUAGUUGGCUACUUAAAGGAAAACCACCUUUAAAAUCACUAGACCUUGCAUUUGAUGACCAUGUGUUUCAUGGCUUUGUAAGCAUGUUUGCAUUUAGCGUGUUGUUUUGUCAGCUGUUCCAUACUUGGGCUCAUGGAACCAAGAGCAAACUUCCAUCUCUUGUGGUGGGGUUGCAAGACAUUGGGCUGCUUGUUUCACGUGUACAUCAUGUGAAUCAUCACCGAGCACCGUAUAAUAACAAUUACUGCGUAGUGAGUGGGGUUUGGAACAAGGUUUUGGAUGAAAGCAAGGUCUUUGAGGCAAUGGAGAUGGUGUUAUAUUUCAAGAUGGGGGUGAGACCGAGGUCAUGGACCGAGUCAAACUCCGAAUGGAUGGAAGAAACCGACAUAUUCAAAUGUUAGCGGCACUUUUAGAUAUAUUCUUCGCCAUUUUAAGUGGCAAAAACUCGAUCUUUACCCGCGAUUUCGAGAUUAAUCUAUCUUUUAGUUUAAGACUUAUUAAUUUGAUUUCCAAAAAACCAAAUGUUUUCUUUUACUUAAAAACAUGUAGAUCACAAUUUUGAUAGAUUUGAAAAGUUUAAUAUAUAAUUUUUAGGGUAAAUGUAGCAACUUCUAAAAUGUUUGCAAACAUUGGAAAGUGGUAUUCAAGUUUUGUAGAUAGGAUAUCUUUCUAUGUGGAUAAUUGAGUCUCAUCACUUAUCGAGAUAUCUCUUUACAUUACCCUUCUUCUUCUUCGUCUGGUUACUCUGACACUUGGAAGCAAAAGUUUUGUUUGUUUGUUAUUUUGUGUAGUUGUGGACCUAAACAUUUUUCCAGGAUCUUAACGAAAGGUAGAAAAGGUAAAAACAAAACAAGAGAAUUAAAUAACUAAUGAUGCUCCAUUGCUCUCCUUCAGUGUUAGACUUGAACCAUGUUAAUCCAAAAUUGUUCUCAUUGCUUUUCCACCUAACAUUUAAAUAAACAAGAACAUAAAAAUAGUUAGCACGCCCACGUUGACAUUUCAAUUCCAUGAACCAACCCAUCUCGUUCCCAAAAACGCACAUUUAUUUCACUUAAAAGUCAAAACCGAAUAAGCCGCAAAAGAAGAUCAUAAAACCCAAAACACUUUUGACCCACACGCUUCAAAAACGUUGACAUAUAAUAAUGCCGUCCACACACAUAUAAAUACUUAUGUACACACAAAGCCAUCAAGAUAAGAAGACACUUCGCUUCAAAUCAUUUGUGUAUUGCAGAAACUUCUGAUCUUCAUGGAAGCUACUUCUCAGCCAUGUUUCUCUCAGAACUACCACUCCUCGCUUCAUUCGACCCGAAAGCAACCGGCAAAGCCAUGGAAAAAACCCGUAUCGGGUUUGGCUCAGCGGAUGCAUCCUAAAGUUUACCGAGUCAAGCCUGUUAACUUUAAGGAGUUGGUUCAGAGGCUAACUGGUGCACAUGACCAUGAGCAAGAGGUGCAUCAAGUUGAAGCUAAGCCAGUCAAGAUUUCUGAUGACACAACAACAGCUAAGGAUAACCCGUUCGCGUUUGAUCUUUCACCGUCAUCAUCUCGGUUUUGGGAAGCUUUCCCUCUUCUCAGUCCUGCAAAUCUUUCAAGAUGGUAGCGAGAAAAAAAAAGCUUCCUUUAAUUGUAAUUCUUGCCAGUUUUUCGGCAAUUUUUGAAAUUGUUCCCACAGAUUUAUAACAUUUUACGAUCUUAUCUAUGAAUAAAAAAGUUACCGUUACAUUACAAAACUGCCAUUUGAUAUAACCAAUGUAUUAAAACCGACCUUUUCGAACACCUAUUGAUCCCAGUAGUUUCUUAGCUGCGACAUGUGAAGAAGAAGCUCGUCUCUGCCCAAACCCGAUACACUACUCGUCAAAAUCCAAGGAGGAUGUACUUUGAAGUUCUCUUUAAUGAUUUGUUGGAAAGCUUUGAUGUUCUCAUCAGGUCUUUUCCCUUUCGUUGCUUUCAUUUUAUCGCAUUUCGUAAACACAAAAGUCAUCUGUACCUGAAAUCAUCGAAAACGACAUUUAACAACUCCUCAAAGCAACAUUUCACUGAACAAACAAAAGCCAAAUUUACCACUUACAUUGUUGCGACCAAGCCAAUUAGCACAAUCAAGAUCAAUCUUCUGAGGAGGAACACUUGCAUCGAUCAGAAGUAGAACACAUACAAGAGUGUCUCUAUUCAAGAAGUAACCUUUAGUAAACGCAGACCAAUCUGUUUUCGCAGCAUCUGAAACUUUAGCAAAUCUGCAAAUACAGUCUCAACAUCAAACAAGAACUUUUAUCUGAAAGCAAGAUAUCAAAUACAUAUCCACUAUGUACCAGUUCCAAACCGAAUUAGCCAGCUCAACCGGUUUGGUUCGGAACCACCUAAACGAUAUUACCAAAAUUUUAUUCUAAAUUUAAGUAAAAUUACUAAUAUACUAUCAUAAUUCAUAAACUGAACCCGAAUAACCGAAAUUUUACCCAAAUUAAACCGAAAGCACCAAACAAGCUAUGUAGAACCAUGAGAGGAGUAACUAUUAAUAUACCAAAUUUAACCAAACAUCAUUGUUCUGUUUCUUCUUACGGUAAAUCGAACCGAAAUCAUCAAAAACAAUAACCAGGCAAAUCCAAAAUGUACCAGUUCAGAACCGAAUAAGCCAACCAAACCGAACCUAAAUUUAGCUAAUUUGGUUGAAAACCUAUUGGCAAGAGGAAUGAUGAAAUUCGGUAACUGGUUCCGUUUGGUUUCGGAACUACCAAACCAAAAAAUACCGAACUUUGAUCCUAAAUUUAACCGUAAUUAUUGUAACUGUAUCCUAAAUUUUACCAAAAUGAACCAAAAUAUACCAAAUUUAGCCAAAGUUAUUUCUGAUGAAAAAGUCGAACCGAAUUUGGUUUUCGAUUCUAAUUCGGCAUCAAUUUUGUACCUACCAAAAUUUGUCCCUUACGAACUGAACCAAACCGAACCGAACUUUCAUUCCAUCUAAUUCGGUGAGAAUUUUGCAUAACAUAAACACCAAAAUUCCAAAAAUUCCGAACGGAACCAAACCGAUUAACCUAAAUGCCAAAUCCUAGUCUCAAUAUCAAACAAGAAAACUAGAUAAAAGAGAUCAAAACACAUACCCAUAACCAGGCAAAUCCACAAUGUACCAACUCUUAUUCACCAAGAAGUGAUUUAUAAGCUGAGUCUUCCCUGUUUCACCAAAAAUUAAAAAUCAAAACUUUCAGAUUUCCAAAACAAAAAAGUUCAAUUUUUUAAGCAAAAUUAUAAGAAAUACAAACCAGGUUUCUUAGAGGUAAGAGCAACUUCCUUCUUACGAACCAAACAGUUGAUAAGCGAAGACUUGCCAACAUUAGAACGACCCAAAAUAGCAAUCUCAGGACGAUCAUCUUUAGUGCAAUCUCUAGCUCGAGCACUACUUUUAACAAAUUCAACUUCUUUGAUUUGAGAAUGACCUGCAAAAGGUCCGAUUACGAUAUUGGAGCCCGGAAGAACCAUAUCAUCUGUUAGUUCCUCAAUCUCUACACCAGGAGGUAUGAAUAACACUGACUUAGCGAAUUUGGCCGCAUCGGAGAUCGAACGAUUCGUUGUUGGUGUUGGAUUGUUCGAAGAGGCUGAGAUUUUUGGGGUAGAGAUGAAAUUAGGGUUACGAAAUGAUUGGAGGGUGUGGAAUUUGUGAGAAUUUGGUAUUAAAGGAGUGGGAUUUAUCGUUAAGGAUCGAUAUCGGAGAAGUAGCACCAUUUUUUUUGUGUUUUGGGUUUAUCGUUAAAGAUAGGAAUUUAAUAACUAUAAGAAAUUGUUGUAUUCUCUCAUUAAGUCUAUCUCACCAGCGCACUUGAGUUAUCAUAAUAAUGAAACAAAGGAAAAACAAAAAUCUAAGUUAACAUUAAAAGGAAUCAUGACUAAAUUCAAUAUAAUAUUUGAUUUUGACUUGAAUGCAAAAUACCCCACAUCUUGAAAACUAAUAAACUCUGAAUCUUAACUUGUUCAUAGACAAUGUAGUAUAGUAUAAGUUGUGUGGUAGAUGUUGAAUAUGAGUGAGAGAAGGCUUUUACCUUGUGAGUUCUGUUGUCUUCUUCUUCAAAGUGAUUCUUCAGAAGCUCUUGUAAUCUGAAAACAUCCACCACAGAUUUCAGCAUUAAAACACAGAACCAAUUUUUGAGAAAUUUAAUAAACCCUAGAUAUAAAAUUCUGAAUCUAUUAACACAUAUAUAAAAAAAAGAAACUUGACAAAAGUUACCAAAAAUAGCAAUCUCGAUCUAGAAAAAUAGGGAGAAAAAGGAACACUUGACCCAAAUCCUAGCUUCAAGCUGGUCAAAAUUUCAGAUAAAGGAACACUUCUUCACCCAAAUAAAGAUUCAGAAAUCGGAGGAGAAGUUUGAGAAACCUAUCUAUCUAUGAAACAGUGGAAUCGGAAACUCAUAGAAGAACCCAGGAUCUCUAUCACUUAGUGCGAAAAACACGGAGAGAAAGAGAGAAAACCACAGUACCCUUCUUCUUCUUCGUCUGGUUACUCCAUCAUCAUGCUGCUGCUUCGUCGUUGUCGUCGUCUAUCUGUAGAAAUUGGCCAAUCGCUCUCACAGUGUGAAGGAAGAGGGACCAAUGGGCAUUGAUUUGGUCCCGCAAAUCUCGUAGCGAAGCGCCUCUUCUCUGGUCCUGUUCGUUUGCUUAUUUGGGAUAUGCAUCCGAAUAGUUCAUCCAAAUAGUCUAUUUGACUAAUCCAUCUGAAUGAUGUUCGUUUCCAUUUUUUGUGGUUCAGCUGGAUGAUCCAUCUAACUACUUUUCUUUAAAAUUUUGUUUGUUUGUUCAGCUGAAUGAUCCAUCUAAAUGUUUUUGAUAUGAAAAUGACUAAAAUGCCUAUGUUUUCAUCUAAUUAUAUUUAAAUUUUAAUCUAACCAUAUUAAUUACCGAUCAAAUAUAUAUUUACAAUCAAAUAAAUUUCAAAUUAUUAUAUUUGACAUUUAAAUUUCUAUUUUCAUGAUUUUUUUUUUUUUUUAUAUAAGAACCAAAGCAUAUGCUAUGAAAUUAAACAACAACCAACAUAUACCAAACAAACUCCAAAUUAUCUAAGUUUUCUUUCUCACCACGAAAACCUCACUUACAAGCUGCUUAAGAUUCUCUAACUACAUUAAAAUAUUACAAAUCCGAUUCUAAGUUAAGAAACAAUAAAAUCAUGAACACAAACACAAGUUCGAGAAUAAUUAAAGCUGGAAAUAUUUACUCAUCCUAAUAUCUACACAGAGCAUAAAAACUACAAGGAUCUACCACCAAAUAACACUACAUAUAAAGGAAAUUAGAAAAUCCAAAUAACAAAUAGCUAAUCAAUCUCAGUUGUUCAACCCAUUGCAGAUAAUGCAUCCAAAAAUUUCUCUGAUCACUCAUACAAACACCAAGACCAAGCAACUUUUAGCUAUAGCCUACCAGCAAGAUAAGAUCUUUGCAAUGAGAAUGAUACUACAAAACGUAUCUGAAUCAAUCAAUUCCAAAUGAUCAGAAGAUUUCAGCUUUAAGAUAAUGCAUCGUUUCAGCUUUCAAACAUAUAAAAUAGAACCAUAUAAGAUAGAAGCUUUCGGCUUUCAACAACAAUCAACAAUAGAUGACAAUAAAUCCAAGCCAAAAGUAAAGUGCAAUAGAAAGCAGAAACGAUCAGAUUCAUCAUAUCUUCUAAAAUUAUGACAUGAUAAACUUCUAAAAGGAGACGAUAAUUGAAUAAUAUGUCUAGUAGAUUCAUCAUAUCUUCCGCUGACAUAUGAGUUUGAUACUAAGCAAUAACUAAAAUUCUUUAAUCAGCUGCAUCAAGGAACACAAAAGCUAAGCACCAUUUUAUAGCUUUGACACUUUGAAAUGACAAAUAGCAACUAAAGGGACAACAAACACAAACCCUAGCUGAGGUAAAAGUAAGCUCUAUAUUCAGUAUCUUGCAACCUGAAUACAAUCAACAAACCAUAGAAAAAUAAGCAAACAGAGUUCAAGCUCCUUAAUAAGCAACGACGCCCAAGAGAAGUGCCAAAACAAAAGCCAAUAAUCAAACCCAUGAACUAUAAGAAUCAAAUACACGACUAAGAAUCCAAUAAUCAAACCCAUGAACUAUAAGAAUCCAAUAAUCAAACCCAUGAAAAAUUAUAGCCGCUCAAAUACACACAAAUAAUUCUAUGAAAAACCCAUGAAAGAUUAUAGCCUAUAAGCAUCAUAAACUCAAUACAAAACCUAUGAAUCUUACCUUAAACUAACGGCGAAAGAUUCGGCGGAGAGAACGGCGAGAGAUCCGGCGGAGAGAAACGGUCGGCGAAGUGGACGGCCGGCGAGAGAUCCGGCGGAGAGAGAGAGCUGAUUUUGUUUGUAAAGAGAACAAAAACAGAGAAUCGUCGACGAACGAAAGAAAGAGAAGAGGAUUAGGUUUCAGGAGUGUAAUUUUCUAAAUUAAGUAGGGGUAUUUAGGUCAUUUUCUAUUUUAGACUGAAUCAGCUCCGGUUAACUGCUCCGAUCAGACUCCAAUCAUUUUUUGGAUGAGUUUAUUAAAAAUCAUCCAACUAAUCCAUCUCACUGCUCUGUUAAAUUGCUCUAAACGAACAUCAAUAUUCAUCUCCAUUCAGCUGGAUCAUCUGAAUGGAGAAACGAACAGCACCUAACUCAUCUGGUGAAACAUCAUGAUCAUUGUUAAUAGAAAUCCCACCCAGCUAUCAUAAGUACAUGGUUUACGAUUUUUUCUUCUUAUUAUUUACCUUUAACAUGUGCCCUUUUCAGAAUUUGAGCUAAUGAAUCUCACAAAACACUUCAAAAAUAUUUCAACAAUCUCUUCCUUAACAUUACAAAAAUAUGAACUACACACUCAAACAAAUUCGAGCGAAGAAAAGUUUUUUUACCAAAAUUUUUCAGGAUUACUAUAACUCCAUCGCCUUUUACAUCGAUUUGGUUUCCUCUUCAUGACCCUCUGUUCCUCAAAGUAGUUUAAUUGGUCUUAAAAUAAUUGAUAUGUUAGCGGUAAACAAACUCUGAUUUUUCUCUCUGUUCUCUUUUGUUAACUCAGAAGAUUGCUUGUUCGUCUAAACUAACGUUGUAUGUACGGAACAAAAUAACGGAUCUUCUAUAAGAAAUUACAAACUUAUAACUAUUCAAACUCUAAAAAGUAAAACAAAAGCAAAGUCGAGACACAUGAACAUGAUUGUUAACAAAGGCAAACAUAGGCUGAAUCGCCCUAACUAAUACAUAGUUUCACCUACGGAGAAGCAUGAGAUGAUAGAUGAGGUUAAGAUGAUGUAAGAGAAAUUAACACAAUCGCGACGACAACCACCUACUUGAACGGCUUUCCAAACAGUGGUCUUCCCUUCUCAAUUGCCUUCACCACAUCAAGACCAUGGUCAAUUUUCUCGUUCGUUCUUGUUGGCAUUGGCAUUCGCCAUCAAGAACAUUUUAGGAACGGUGUGCUUCCUCUCAAAAUUCUCAUGGUCAUAGAGAUGAGGUUUCAUAAGAACAAAACUCAUCAACCAACAAACUUUCUUAAAAGAGAGAUUGAAUAAAUUUCAUAGAUUUGCCAACUCAGGACAAAUGUUAUCUAUUGAUGUUUAACAUGUGCAAACAUUACAAUGAACAAUAUUCAAGUGCCACUGGAAACUACUCAUAAAUUGAUUAACCAUCUUAGAAGGAAAAGUCUCUGCAUCCCUCUAUAUUUCUCAAUUUCUCUAAAUCCUAAGAACUAAUUCCAAGUAAAUAGCAAAAUGUUUGAAAUGAAACUUACUCCGUUAUGGUUGACCAGACUCGAAUCCCCUUUCGAAGAAUAUCGAGAAUUAAACUGACUUUAGUUUUUUGAUUGCCUCGUCGUCAAAACUCGAAAUCUGACAUUCGACCACUCGUUUGGUGGGUACAUUGGUUUGGUGUAGAUUGGGCAUUCAAGGAUCUUGUAAACGCUCGUUGCCGGCUUUGAGACUUGGUUGAUGAGAAUUGGCGGCUGUGAUGUUGAAGAUGAUGGAUCACACUCUGAGGUUCUUUGAGGGAUGGAUGAUAAACUCUGAUUUGUUAGCCUCUUCUUCUCACUUCUUAAUCUCUCUCCCCGUCCUUAGUGCCUACUUUAAAUUUCAAUCAUCCUCCGUCUCUUCACCGAGGUGUUUCGUAACUGCAUCUCACAAGUCAUUGACUGCCCGAGCGUCCAAUUGCAAGAGAAAAUCCUCGAGCCUGUUUCAUCUCACGGACCAAGUUACGAACCCAUCACCAAAACGCAGCCCUCGUUGAUGAUUUCGUCGAAAUCAACAAACUUCCGAGAGGUCCAAAGGCAUUCAGUGUUCUCCAUAAUCGUCAAUUCAAUUGCUUAUCUAGAUGCCGCGUGCUACGUUUAGAAGAAGAUGAUUGAUGGCGUUUGUUGGAGAAUCGGUGAAUUUUCCGGUGGUUGUUGGAGCUCCUUCCGAUGGCAAAUCGAGUUGACAACAAACUCUGUCGGCGGUGAUCGGCGACGACAAUCGUCGUCUCUUCAGGUGUUUCAAUAAGAACAGUUUCACCAUUAUUUUAUCGAGUGGGCUUCCACGUUUUCCUCUAUUUGUUUAUUUUUGUUAUUUUCUUUGUUUCUUUAAUAUUAUGAGACUAAAAAAAACAAAAAGAGAGAAAGAGUGACGUGGCUAGAUAGAAAAUUGUUACUGGUAACAAAGCUGAGGUGUAUUAUUUAAAAUGUUUUGAUUGGAGCUCGUUUUUAAUGACGUGUCACAUCCAGGAAAGCUGAAAAAGUUGAUAUGUCAGAUCAUGAGAGAAACAUAGUGUUUUUAUUGUAUUGAUAAGUUCCAGCAGCGGCAAAAAAGAAAAAAAAAUAUUUUUCUAAAAUAGUCCACAAUAAGUUUAAAUUUUAUUUAGUCCACAAAAUUUAACCUAUCAAGAUAUUUUUGAAUUUAACAAUAAAUAAAUAAAUGUAUUACGUAUAUUUGUGUUAAUGUUACAACUUACAAGAUAAUCUGGGUAAUUCAACUUCUUAUUAAUUUUAAUAACUUUUUUAGUUUAGUAAGAAUAUUAAAAUAUUCCGUAUACCUUUUCUUCUAUCUAUGUGAAAAAGUGUUAGUCGAUCAUCGACUCUGGAGAACAAACGGUAAAAAAAUCGCAAGAGGAGCGUGAGAGAAAACAUUUAAAUUUUGAAUCAAUGGGCCUCAUUGGGCCUAGCUAGAGCUCUGUUAGGCCUAAUUUGAUCUUUUACAUGGAAAAAUCAAGACCGUCUGAUUAGAGCAUCUGACAGAUCUCAACGGUCAACAUAUCCGUUAGCAAAACGCAAAUUUGCUCUCGUCUUAUUUCUUGAAGAAUUCUCUCGAUCCAUAAUCAGAGAUCCGUUUCAAAUGUUUCUUUCGAUUUCUAUAGAUCGUGAAUCUGUUUUUCGGAUUAAUGAGUUUCUUGUGAUGGAUCUUAUGUUGUAUUGAUCUAGGGUUUUGAUGGUACUUGGAGGAGGCUUGAUUCAGCGUAAAACUGCUACCAUUUUCUUCUUCUUUCUAGUGGUGAUUGAUUGGUUAGAUUUCUUCCUCAUCUUUCGCUAUUAUGUGUUUUCUUUUAGGGUUUGCUAAUACUUCGUAUCUAAUAUCUUGUUUAGGGUUUUAUGGAAGCUUGUCUCUGCGUGAAACCCGUCUUCGAGGUAUGUAAAUCUCUAUCUUUCCCGAUUUCAACCUUUGUUUUUUGGUUUUGUUUUUCAGUUUUCAAGUAUCGAAAUCGGUCGAGAACAAACAUGUAUGAUCACUUCUCGUCGAUGAGAUUAUUUUGCAAUUGAAAUCUGUUUUGGGAUCAUGAUUUUAUUUGUUUUCAAACCCUAAUAAUUGCUAUCCGGAUUUUGGAAUCAAGAUUUUUUGUUUUCAAACCCUAAUAAUUUUUAUCCGGAUUCUUGAUUUUGGGAAAUUGGGAACUUUUGGUUUUGUUUUUGAUGUUUUCGUUUUUCUUUCAAAACCCAAAAAGAUUCAUGGGCAGGCACUAACUAAUAGUGUUCUGUCAGAUUCUAUUUGGGGACAUUGUCCCGAGCAUAAUUGUGGAUUGAAUCAGAUGUAUUGGCUGGGUAGUGCAUGCGUGUUGGGAGAUGGAAAUGACCAACGGCUUAAACAAGUCUUAAAGACAGAGGACUAAAGAGUUCACAAUUUUAAUACCAUCGGCUUAGAAAGUAAUAAGACAUAAAGAUUUAAAGACAUUGGGGUGGAUGGUUAUAACGACCACCUAGGACCAACGGCUUAUUAAGUCUGAAAGACAUAGACUAAAGAGUUGCCAUCGGCUUAGAAAAGUGAUAAGACAUAAAGAGUCAAAGACAAUGGGGUGGAUGGUUAUAACGACCACCUCGGACCAACGGCUUAACAAGUCAGAAAGACAUAGACUAAAGAGUUGCCAUCGGCUUAGAAAAGUGAUAAGACAUAAAGAGUUAAGACAAUGGGGUGGAUGGUUAAAACGACCACCUCGGACCAACGGCUUAACAAGUCUGAAAGACAUAGACUAAAGAGUUGCCAUCGGCUUAGAAAAGUGAUAAGACAUAAAGAGUCAAAGACAAUGGGGUGGAUGGUUAUAACGACCACCUCGGACCAACGGCUUAACAAGUCAGAAAGACAUAGACUAAAGAGUUGCCAUCGGCUUAGAAAAGUGAUAAGACAUAAAGAGUUAAGACAAUGGGGGUGGAUGGUUAUAACGACCACCUAGGAUGGAAUAGACCAUCUGCUGAAAAGGAUGAGGGGAUAUGUUGGAUGGUAAAAACGACCAACAGUUUGAAGAUACUUGAUAAAGACUAUAGAGUGUUCAAGACUCGUUGGAUACAACUUAAAAGAAGGCUUAAGAUAAAGACUUAGCCUAAAACAAAUAGGAAAAACAAAGAAAUGCUUAAAAGUCUUUGAGUCUUUAGGCAAAUACAAUCAACAUCAAAGAACGAGGUAAGUAUAGGGGUAUUACUUGUAAUGGAGACUAACCAAUUUUUAUUUCUUCAGGUAUGUGCGUCUGACUACGUUCAAAUUGAUGGACUCUGAGGAGAUUUCAAGACUUUUUUGACAGGUAUGUACUUUUCUAUCUUGUUUGUAAUUAGACAGAGACAUGAAGUAAUGACUAAUUAUAAUUUGUUCAGGUAUAUGCUUCAAAAAGGUGCUUUCUAAUGGUAUAUCCUUUUUUAGACUUUUCUGUGAUAAAUUGAUAUUAUUACAAGUGAAAAUUUACAUAUUUAAGUUGAAUGAUAUAUUUGCCAGAUUCUAGAAACUGAGUGCUAACAUAUCCAUUGAUAAAUAAGUAGAUUUUGCUUUGGUUAUUGGUACAUUACAUUGUGUGUUUCGGUUCUUGUGUGUAUCAUAGGGUCUCACAUUUUAUGAAAUGGAUGCAUCAUGUAGUAGUUUUCUUGAAUAUUGAAUGUCUUUGUUUUACGUUAUGCUCUAAACUCUUGAUGAUUGAUAUUUUGGUACUUUGCAUUAUUAACUGAUGAAUACUGUGUUAGAUUCUGUAAAUUCAUUGAUUAAUAAUAUAUCUGUAUGAGUGUCUAUGCUUUGAUCUCUUAGUGUUACAGAGUUGAUAGAGUUUGAAUCUCUAUUGAAUCACACUAUGUAUUUAUGAUUUUACUUAUGGUUAUUAGAACAGUAUAUUAUGUGUAAAAUACUAAUUAUCUCUGUUUGGUGCUACUCUGUAACUUGUUUCUAAUUUUAUAAAAUAUCUUGUAUUAACAUUAUAUCUUGUAUAGUCUCUUAUAGAUAAUUAUUGUAACGUAGAUGAGACUUGUAGUAGAUUAUGUGUAAACUACUAGUUAUCUCUGUUUUGGUGCACUUAAGGUUUCUAAUUUAUGAAAUGGAUGCAUCUUGUAGUCUCUUGUAUAUAUUUAUUUGAACGUAGAUGAGACUCAUGCAGAUGAUGAUAUAGUAUUUUUCUUGAAUCUUGAAUGUCUCUGUUUUACGUUAUGCUCUAAACUCUUAGUGAUUGGUAUUCUGCAUAAUUAAUUCUGGAUACUGUGUUAGAUUCUAUAAAUUGUACAUGCUAGCUUGAGUCUUUACUAUACAGUGAUUGAAAAUAUCUCUGUUAUGAUAUUAGUGGCUGCUCUUAGUCUACUUGAUGGAGCUUGAAAAUCUAUUGAAUCACUAGAAUGUGAAUUGAUCUUUUUGAUUUCCUUACCAUACUUAUUUGUUUCAAUAACAAUUAAAUAUUCUAUGAUUGAUGUCAAAAUCAGAAAUUAAUACACUUUUAUCAUCCCCACUGUUGGCAUGUGGAAUACGUGCUAUGUUCUUCUCUGUUCUUUAUGUCGACUAAACGUAUUAAAUGUUUGGUUCUUGGACUUGUAAGUUGUUAGACUUGAAAGCUCUUGACUCUCUACUUUAGUACAUAGAAACAUGUACAAAAUCCAGUCUUAUGUUUGUUACUAGGCAAAGUAGUGCAUUGAGUUACUAUUAAAUAACAUUGUAUAAAUGUCUCUGUUCCGUCAUGUUUCUUUUCUAAGAAACAUCACAACUAAUUGGUAAACUAAAUGGCUCAUGUUGAGGCAUCGUACCACUAUAACCUUAUACAUAUCUUGCACAUUUUGUCUAUUUCCAUGUUUUUAUUCAAUCUGUAACCUUUCACGAAAGGAAUAUUUAUUGUUGUUUGUUUUUUAAAGAUGGACAAUUUUAAUUUUGGUUUUAGUUUUGUUGAUAUACAAUGUUUUCUGUAGUGUAGCUUUGUGUUACAUUAUAAGAUCAUAGUUCUUGACUUUUGGUUGGUUGUCUGAAAGUCCUUUGAUCAUUCUUUGGAUGAUACAUACCAUCUUGACUUUUGCUUCUGAAUUCUUUGAAUAUAUAGUGUGGUAAGUUAAUUUAACAAAUUAAGGAUCCAUCGAUCUCCAUGAUUAAUAGGAUCAUUCUAAACAUGAGAAAUAACAUUCUGCAUUAUACACUAAUAAAAAUGUUGUUUUUUUUUACCUUGGUAUUGAAACAUUACAUUGUGUGUUUAAAAUACUAGCUUAUCAUCUUUGUUUUGGUACUUAUAAAUGUAUCAUAAGCUCUCUCGUUUUGCAAAAUGGAUGUAUCUUGCAGUCUCAUGUAAAUGAUGUUAGUAUUUUACUUGAAUCACAAAUGUAUUUAUCUUGCAUUAUGCUCAAAAAUUACAGUCUCGAAUUCUGCAUAAUAAACUGAUGACUACUGUGUUAGAUUCUACCAAUUGUACCAGUUGGCUUGCUUUUUUAACAAUUCAUUGAUUAAAAAUAUCUCUCUUAUGGUAUUAGUGUCUAUGCUUUGGUCUCGUAGUCUUACAGAGUUGAAGCUCUAUUGAAUUACACAUGUAUUUACUCACAAAGUGCAAUGAGUCUUUUCUUGAAUUCUAUACCAUGCCUUAUGUUUUUAUCACACUUUUCUAUGGUUGGUGAUUUGAUGUUAAUAUCAAGAAAUUAGCAAACCUUCAGCAUACGAAAUGAAAUUAUGGAAUUCUGCAUCAUACAUUGAUAAAAAGGGUGAUUUUAUUUAUGUUUACUAAAACAUUAGAUUAUGUGUAAAAUACCAAUUAUCUCUGUUUGGUGCUUGUAUAGUCUCUUGCAGAUAUUUAUUUUAACGUAGAUGAAACUCCUGCAGAUGAUGGUAGUAGUUCUCUUGAAUGUCUUUGUAGAUAUUGUGUUUUCUCUAAACCUUGCCCUUGUUGAUCAUUUUCAGCAUAAGAAACGGCAUUAUGGAAUUCUGCAUCAUACAUUGAUAGAAAGUAAGAUUACACGUAUGGUUUUAGAACAUUAGUAUUAUCUUUGUUUUGGUGCACUUAAGGUUUCUAAUUUAUGAAAUGAUGCAUCUUGUAGUCUUUUGUAGAUAUUUAUUUGAACGUAGAUGAGACUCCUACAGAUGAUAGUAGUAGUUUUUUUGAACCUUGAAUGUCUUUGUUUUACGUUAUGCUCUAAACUCUUGGUAUUCUGCAUUAUCAACUGUGGAUACUGUGUUAGAUUCUAUAAAUUAUACCUGCUACCUUGAGUUUUUACUACAUAGUGAUUGAAAUUAUCUCUGUUCUGAUAUUUGUGUCUGCUUUUAGUCUAAUUGAUGGAGCUUGGAAAUCCAUUGAAUCACUAGAAUGUGUAAUUGAUCUUUCUUGAUGUCAAAAUCAGAAAUUAGUAUACUUUCAUUAUACUUUGCUAUGUUCUUUUCUGUUCUUUAGGUCGACUAAAUGUAUAAUAUGUACUAAUGGUAACUAAUUAUAAAAUCAUAUUCCGAAUAAUGUUAUACAUUAAUUACGUAUAAUAUAUUUGUUCAUAUAAUUUUGGAACUAAUUUCAUAACAAUCAACGUUUUUCUCAUUAAUUUUGUUUAUUUUAGCCAGUUAUAAUUAAUUAAAAGAUAUCUUACUUUCUUCUAGAGAUUUCUAGAAAAUUUAUCACAACUAACCAAUCUAUUUUAUAAAUUAAAUAGAUAUUUUUAUUUUGGUCAUGUAAAUUAAAUAGAUAUGAAAUCUAUGUAACUAAUUUUAAUUUAAUUAGAUUAAAUCAAAAUUAUGGUAUUUUCAUACUUAUAACUUACCAAAGAAGUUUAAUUUUCAAAUUAUAAAGAUUUAUUGAAUAUGAUUUUUAGAAUUAUUCAACAAAAUGAUAAAUAUUUAUUAAAUUUUGUGAAUCAUGAAAAAUAUUAAUUAUUUUUUAAAUAUUAUUUAGUCACCUUUCAAUCUCUCAUCUAACAAAUAAGAUACAUAUUCUAUUAUUCCUAUGUCCAAACUCCAUUGUGUUGUAUGACUAAAUAAUAUUUCUAUUAGAGCUGUCAAAACGAGUUGAUUCGUCCCGUUAAGCCUGUUUUGCAAUAGGCAAAAUAUACUUUGGCAUGUAGUUAGUCUGUCCGCCCGACCCGCGGGUAGCAUAAAUGAAACACAAACCCGUCGCGUGAAUGUAUGCUGAUUUGCGGGGUAAUCCGUGGAUUUUGUUUAAAUAAUUUUAGAGUAACCAAAAUUUAAAAUUCUACUAAAAUAAAUAAAUUAAAAUUUUUUUAGAGAAAAUAAUCUUAUAUAUCAUUAUAUUUAUAAAUAUUAUAAUUUCAUUUAUUAAAAGUUUUUUAAACUACCACAUGUUGAAUAAAUUAUAUUUUUAUCAAUAAAUACUAUCAUGCGGGUUGAUCCGCUAACCCUCGGACGAAAAUCGAUGACUCACUGCGAAUCAAUCCAUGUGGCCCGCUUAUUUGCGGGUUUAAUAUAUUUUCCCAAAUCUGCCCUAUAGUGAGAUGAUUUGGGCUCGACCCGCGGUUUUUGACCGAUUUUGACUGCUUUAAUUCCCAUGAUUCGUCUAAUUUUUGAAUUCUAAAACACAAAAUUCCAUUAUGUAAAUCAUAAUUAAUAUGAUUGGUUUAAUUAUAAACAAUUUAAUAUUUUCUUUACAAUUUGUUAUUAAGAAUAUUUAUAAGUACACUACACGAUUCGUUUUACUAAAAACACGCACAAUAUUAAAAUCAACGUAUGUAAAUCAAUACUAAAAAAGUGAUCAUACUAAGAAAGAAAUCAGCAAACCUUUUAAGAUCCAAUACUAAAAAAGUAAAGAGUCAACAAUUACUCUCCGAAAAUGAAGCUGAGAACAAAUCACGGGUGUUGAAUAAAAUUCACGUGAAUUAUAAUAGGGAGACUCACAAAAAUGCCCCUUUUUCAAUACCCCUUUUCAAAAAUGCUUCCUUUGGAUGUCUAUUUUUAAAAAUACCCCUUUUAUGUACAAAAUGACUAAAUUACCCUUCUUUUAAUAAAAGAUAUCAUAAAUAUAUAAGGAAAUAUAACAAAAUUAGGUCCACAAAAUACAAAAUAUUUUUUGGCGGGAAAAGUGAUCCCCCAAUUUUUCCCGCCAAAACACUUGUAAAAAUUUGUAAAACCUUUAAAAUACCUUGUAAAAUUUUCCCGUAAAAUUUUUUCCCGCCAAAAAAUUUUCCCGCCAAAAAAUUUUUUUUGCGGGAAAAGUGAUUCCGCAAUUUUUUUGGCGUUAAAUUUUUGGCGGGAAAAUUUUUCCCGCCAAAAAUUUACAAGGUAUUUUAAAGGUUUUUUACAAGGUAUUUAUAAGGUUUUACAAUGUAUUUUAAAAGGUUUUACAACGUAUUUACAAGGUAUUUAUAAGAUUAUAAGAUUUUACAAGCUAUUUUAUAAGGUUUUUACAAGUUAUAAGGUUUUACAAGUUUUUUAUAAGGUUUUACAAGUUAUAAAUACCUUAUAAAACCUUUAAAGUACCUUGUAAAACGCUUUUAAAAUACAUUGUAAAACCUUACAAAACACUUGUAAAUACCUUGUAAAAAACCUUUAAAAUACCUUGUAAAUUUUUCCCGCCAAAAAAAUUUCGCAAAAAAAUUGCGGAAUCACUUUUCCCGCAAAAAAAAUUUUUUGGCGGGAAAAUUUUUUGGCGGGAAAAAUUUUUACGGGAAAAUUUUACAAGGUUUUUUAAAGGUUUUUUACAAGUGUUUUGGCGGGAAAAUUGCGGGAUCACUUUUCCCGCCAAAAAAUAUUUUGUAUUUUGUGGACCUAAUUUUGUUUCAAAUAAGGGUAAAAUAGUCAUUAAAAAUUAAAAGAGGGCAAACUUAAAAAUGGACUCUCAAAGGGAGCAUUUUUGAAAAGGGGUAUUGAAAAGGGGGCAUUUUUAACAAUUUCUCAUUAUAAUAUUACAAAGACGAGAUGGAUUAUUGGAUUAUAUUUAUACGUUACUUACCAGACUUACGACCAUUAUAAACAUUAUUUUCUUACGACCAAUCAAAUCUCGAUUUCGGUGGGACUAACGAUCGUGUUUCACGUCACUGAUUCUGACUUUUGUGGUUAAUUACCUGAAUUUACGAGUAAGCAUUUACAUCAAACUUUAUGUAUUUGUCUUCAAAUUUUUUAGAUUUUCUUUUGUUGUAAAUGUUAUGUCCUAAAGUUGUUUUUGGGACUCUUUCAUACAUAGGAUGUUAAUAUAUUACAGUAUUAAAUUAAAUGCUUUACCUGUUAAUGGACUAACGACCAUUACAUGUACUUAGUGGUUUAAUUUGUGUUAGUGUUGUGAAUAUGUACGACAAUGAUACCAAAAAAAAAAAGGUACAACUACUAGAUUUUCUCCCAUGCAGAAUACUGAUAGAAAUUAAUUGACUAGUGUCUGAUUAGAGUCGGCUCUAAGCCAAACCGAUGAAACUUGGGUUUGGGGUGCUAGGUGGUUUAAAAUUUUUUGGCCAUAUUAUUCAUGUGGACUGAUUGGAUGAUCAAUUGGUGUUAGUAUACAAGAUCACUCAGUGUGUAAUUAAGUUUAGGUAAAUCCGUGAAGAUAAGUCUUAUCAUUUUCUGUAUAUUACUAUUUACUCAUCACUCAAAGCUUUGAUUUGAUUUUAUCUUUGUUGAUAAACCUUUGUUUUAAGGAAAAGAAUAAGAAAACUAAUAAAUCACAAAUCUAUAAUAUUUUGGAAAUUCAGUUUAAAAUUCUCCUAUAAAUCUAUAAAGUCAUAGAACUAACAAAAAAAAUAUCUAUAAAGUCAUAAAAUGCAUUUGAUCUCUUGAUCUUUUUUUUUUUUGCUAUCAAAUUUUCUUUUGUUAAUUCUGAAAUUCAAGAUUUAAUACUAAAGAAUUUAUUCUAGAUUUAUCUUAUUUUAAGGGAUUUCUAAGAUUAAUUGUGUGAGAUUAAUUGACUAAUGAAUAGAAGAAAGAUAAACCUUCCAAAUUCGGCCGUACCUCACCAAAAUAACUUUACGUUAACCAUACAUAUUUAAUAAUAUACUAGAUUUUAACCCGCGGUACACCGCGGGACUAUAUUUUCUUAAAAAAAUCAAAAUGUAAUUUGUUUGAUAGAUUAUUUUGAUUGUUAAUUUUAGGAUUUCACCCGUGGUAUACUAUCUUUUAUAAAUAUCAACCCAAACCCGUCCCAUCAUAUUACCCGUCCCGUGAAAUUAAACAUCAUUUAGUUAUUUUUCUUUUUAAUAAUACUUUUAUUUAAAAGCUAUAUAAUUCAAGUCAAUUUAAAAAUUUCUUUUAAAUGGUUCCCAUAAGAUAUAUAUACAUAUAUAUUAAAUUUGUAUAGAGUUGAAAUAAUAUUAAUAUUACAAACUUUUUAUAUAAUUUAAAUAUUAUAAAUAUUUUUAAAAAUAUGCAAUAUAUAUUUUUUGUUAUUGAAUAAGAGGAUAUUAUGUGUAAGAAAUGUAGAAAAUAAGAGUUUAAUAUUUUUAUUAUGGAGUCGCAAGAAAAAUCUUUUAUUUCUAUACAUGUUAUUCGUUUAUUAAUAAUAAAAGAAAACAAAUCCUUUAAAUUAGAUAUUAACUAAAAUAAACGCACCAUAAUUACUUAUUAAGUAACAACCAAUAAAUUUCAUCAAAAAAUAGGUAACAACCAUAAAAUUCUAAACGCAGUAAUUAAAGAAUGAGAUAUUAAAAAAAAUUAUCAAAUAAGAUAUAAGAAUCUUAAAAUAAUUGAAUAUCUAAAUAAUUUAAUUGUUAGUGUCGAUUUUAAUGCCUUCAUUAAUGUGGAUUUUUUUUUUUACAGAGAAAUAUUUCCUAAAGAUUAUCACAUUAAUGACUCAGAAAAUUAAGGAAGAUAUGAAUUUAUGAUUCUCGAAAUCGUGUUGGUAAUAUCUUUAAUUAAUAUUUUUCAAAUUUAAAUAAUUUAAUGUCAAUGGCAUUCAUCCGUAAAUACAUUCCAACUCCAGGAUUUAUUUGCUAAAAGUCAUCCAAAAAUGUAUAUAUAGAUAAUCUCAAAAAUAGUUGCAGAGCCUUUCUUAAUUAUUUUUUUAGGCCUACAUAAGGAGGAAGAACAAUCAGAAUUGAGAUCACAGAACCAUAAGUUCCAAAAAAAUUCACAAAAACAUAACAAAAUGUUGCCUUUUCGUUAUAGCUUCGUCGUUCUGACAUUACUCUCUGUUUUGUUAACUCUAGCCUAUGGUCUACCUAGGGUAAGACCAAUCAAAGAUGUCCAACCGAAAAAAACGCUAAAGGUUCACAACCAGAUCCGAGCCGCGGUCGGGGUGGCUCCAUUGAAGUGGAACAGAACAGUAGCGGCCUAUGCACAGAAGUUCGCAAAUAGACAAGCCAAAGCCGGAGUCUGCGACUACAGCUCCAUGAGACAUUCUGAUGGACCUUACGGCGAGAAUAUCGCUGCGGGAUGGGUCCAACCUGAAGACCAAAUGAGCGGUCCGAUCGCGGCAAAGUAUUGGUUGACGGAGAAGCCAAACUACGAUUAUGCGACCAACAAGUGCAAAGAUGUUUGCGGACACUACACUCAGAUGGUGGCCAAUCAGUCGUUCAGUCUCGGAUGUGGCUCGUUCAGGUGUCAUGAGAAUGAGUUAAUUUAUAUUGUAUGUAACUAUUAUCCUAUGCCAGUGGGUGAUGAGAAUACACGUCCUUAUUGAUUAUGUUGAUGUGAAGAAAUGAUCCAUAUGGUAAUGUGAUUUGACAAUAAUUAAUAUGUUAAGUUACUGAUCCAUUAUAUGUAUAAGACUAUAAAACCAAGUUUAUGAUCUAUUGGUUUGUAUUAUUAGUGUUGUUGCUGUGAAAUCAUUCAGAAUAAUAUGUGAUGGUCAAUUUGGUUAAAUAAAUUGUGGUUACAUACAUUUCAUAUAAUAUUUUAUGAACUUUUUGUUAUAGAAGAUUUUCAAUAUUUUCGUAAAGUAUAAUCGGAGUUAUUUCCCUUUGUAUUUAGUCCGUUGGUAUCUAGAGCUAGUAAAUCAGUUGUGAAAAGAAGUAGCUAAGAGACAUGAAAUAUUGUGCUUCCGGUAAAUUUGAUUACGAGUAUUUAGAUAAUUAUGGUUCUUUUUUUUUUGAAGAGCAUGCCCAAUUAAUUUAGAAGUAGUCACAAUUCUAGCAGAAAUUAUGGAGCAAAUUUCUGUCUUGGGGAGCUUUAUGAUGCGGUUAAAGCGGGCUAUGCGACUCUAAGCAUCCUACAUAUAAUAGAGUAGAUAAAAGUUCUAUAGCCUGUGGACAUCAACAUUUCUUUAACUUUAAAAUGAUUAAAAGUUGUCUACUGGGUCGGUUUAAUAACAGCUUAUCAUCUUCCUAAUUCUAAAAGUACUAAGUUUAUUGAAAUAGAGUUAAAAGGAACCAAAAGAGCGAUGUUUUGACUUUUCAAGAAACACAAUGAUGCAUAGUUUUAACUUUUAACAUGACGUUGAGUUUCGAGGAAUCAUUGCAUCCGACAUAUAUGGGAGGAAACGUUUUGUUUGUAUUUUGAAAGCGGAGAUAUUGGAUAGCACAUAAUUUGUUAAAAUCAGAAUGGAUUGCAAUUAUCCAAGAAGUUCCAUGCGAUAUACAAUUCUAACUCUAUUGUUUGGUGCAUCUCCAAAGAUGAAAAGAGAGAAAACCUACAAAAAUUUCCGUGGAUUUUAUAGUUCAUUUAGAAAAGGCUUGAUAAAAGAAUAUAUUUAAAGGUUCGAUUUGGGAACCUCCCACAAGUUGAUUAGACUAAAAAGGACCUUAGUAAAGAUGGUGAUUCCGUCUACAAACAACCAGAACUUUCAUCAUCCGUUGAACCAUGUCGAAACAAGAUGCUGAAAAAUAGUUUUUAGAGACUAGAUAAUCUCGAUUAAUCGGUUUAUAUAAGUUUUGUUUGGAUUUGUAAAAAUUAAGAUGGCGAGACGAUCUUUUGGAAACUACAUCAGUCACUAGCAGAGAAUUUUUUUGACCCCUUCACACGGAGUUAGAAGCUAGCGUCCAUCUAGUAAAUGAAGUACAUCACUAGACACCAGCUAAAAUGUAUUCGUAAAGUAACCUUGUUUAUUUUUUUUUCAUCUGGUAAAUAUUGAAUUGAAAUGUUUACAAAUUACAAACAGAGGAGAAAACAGCUUAGAAACAUAAGAGAAACAAAUGUCAUUACCAAUCCUACACUUAGACCAUCUCCGAGAAAAACGACAUCGUUUUACUCUGUUUACUAUAAUCCCAAUUCGACGGCCACGAUGAGCUAGACCACUGUAAAUCAGGUGGUCGUGGCACCACCAGAUCAACGAUCUGAGUUCUUCCUUCUUCGCUCAUACUCAUACGCUAAAUUCUGAUUGAAGAAUUCGUUCGCGCUUUUCUAUUUGAUUCUCCUUGGAACAACAGAGAUCAGACUCGAAUCCGUAACACCAUUGUUGAUUCUCUAAAGCAUCUGCUGAUUUCAAUCGUGAAAUUAGCCGGUGGUGCAUGGAAGCUCCAUUAACGGAGAGUUUGUUUCAAUUCUGAUUCAUCAAUGGCGUCUUGGCUCAAAGCUGCCGAAGGUAAUAUUGUAGUGGUUUAUUUGCAAUUCAAAUUCGUGAUUACAAAUUUUGAAGUUUCCGUUAAAUUUUUCGUCAGAUUUAUUUGAGGUUGUGGAUCGAAGAGCAAAAUCUGUGGUUGAAGAGCUUUCGGAAGAACAGACUGAUUUGCAGUUGCCAGGUACUGUGUAGAGAUUACUCUGAUAGAACUAAAAGCUUUCUCUUUGGUACUGGUUUGAUCUGUAUGUGAUUAGAAACAUAGGCAUUGUCCUGGAGUUGAUCUAAAGCAAAGUUUGAUGGUCAAAUCUUUAUAAUUUUGAAACUUGUAGUCAUGUGUAUAUGUCUCUUAUAUUGUGUAUGUCUUUCUUUGGGGUGGCUAAAGCUUCUGGUAGGAAAGGGUCUCAAGGGAAGAGAACAAGUUCAAAGAAAAAGGUAUUACUGUGGAUCUCUUAUCUGUAAGUUGAUCUCGUUGUUUGGUACAUCGAUACUCAAGAUGAACUUCUUUGUUGUGGAAUGUAUUUGUAGGCUCGACAGAAACUUGUAAAAGAAGAAUCUUCUAAUAAAAGAGAUUUUUCUGGUGAUCAAUCUGGCCCAGGGGUAUCACAGUCAGAGGUGCCUCCAUCCAUUGACGAAGCAUCUUCAUCAGGGCCUGUCUUGCAGACAAAUGAGAUUAGGACUGAUGCAGAUGUCCAGAGUGUCCAAUCACUUCCACAAUCAGUGGCAGAUACAAAAAGUGAUGAUGCUGCUGUGGUAGGUUCAGAAUCUGUUGUGGACGGUGAUGGAGCUGAGUCAAAGCAUGCUGAUGGAGAUAUUCCAAAUGAUUCUUUGGUGCAACCAUCACCAUCUUUACCUGACAAAGAAAUUGAGGUCGCUGUCAGUGAGAACCUCGUUGAUGCUCCCAAAAAUGGCGCACAACGAGAGUUAGUUGAUUCUUCAAAAAGAGAUCUGGAGAAACUGGAAUCUGUAGUGCAUGUUCCUUCGGUUGGUGAAGGGAAUGUGGCUCAAAGCACGGGCGAUGAGGUGAAAGUUGGCACUUCAAUCAAUCUGGAGAAAGAACAGGAACCGGAAGUUCCUGACACCUCAACCAAUCUGAAAAGAGAGCAAGAUCGUAGAGCUGAUACGACUUCCGUGAAGAUUCAAGAUCAACUUGAAGAGGUUAGUUAGUCUAUGGAAAUGAAGAAAAUAGAAAAUGCUAUGGCUGCCACUUAAAUUUCCAUGUAUGUUGUCUUCUUAAAAGUCUGUUGAUCAAUCUAUUCACUUAUUCUAGGCUCAGGGGUUGCUAAAAGCUACCGUUUCCACUGGGCAGUCAAAAGAAGCAAGGUUAGCAAGGGUAAGCUCAAAUAUCCUUCGCUACUUUCCUGCAUCAAAUAGUUGAUAAUGUACUCUUUCAUAUGUAAGAUAGGAUUUAUCCAUGUCUGUGGUUGGAUCUGAGCAAUCUCAGAUGUAUGCAUUUUUUGUUUAUGCAUUUUUUGUCUUCAUCUCUUCUAGGUUUGUGCUGGACUUUCAUCCCGUCUUCAAGAAAUUAAAGCGGAAAAUGCACAGUUAGAAGAGCUUCUCUCUGCAGAGGUAAAUUUCAACAGUUUUGAGUUUCUUUUGAUACUCUAAGGUGCUCUCAGUGCACCUAAUUUUUUAUUUUUUUUUCUGUAAUAGCAAGAGCUUACCAAGUCAUAUGAAGCUAGCAUUAGACAGUUGCAAAAAGAUCUGUCAGCUGCUAAAAGUGAAGUGACGAAAGUAGAGUCAAGCAUGGUUGAGGCACUAGCAGCUAAGAACUCAGAGAUAGAAACACUUGUCAGCGCAAUGGAUGCCCUGAAAAAUCAGGCUGCUCUGAAUGAAGGAAAAUUGUCGUCUCUCCAGGUUUCUUGGCCUCUCAUUUACUCAUUUUUCUUUUGUGUGCUUCCUAUCAUAGCAUACCAUGAGUAUUUAAUGGUCCUAGUUACUUAUCUCUUCAGUUGCCAUUUUCUUUUUUCACCCAACCUGCUUUUAAUAAAAUCAUUUACUACUUCUAUCAGGGAGAUAUGGAGUCUAUUUUGAGAAACAGAGAAUUGGCUGAGACUAGGAUGAUGCAGGUAUUACUAAUUUUUUUUUCAUCAAUGACUACCAAUAAUUUACCGCCAUGUAUAUACAAUUAGAAACAUAUAAGGUCCUCAGACCAUUGAAUCAAUAUUUUCUUAUUACAGGCAUUGCGGGAGGAGCUUGCCACUACUGAAAGGAGAGCCGAAGAGGAGCAUUCUGCGCAUAAUGCCACAAAAAUGGUUUGUUGCCUGAACGAUGCGAAAAUUGUUUAUAAUGAAAACAUUAUAUCAAUUUUUUUUUCUUACAUGAAUUGUUGAUUCUAAGACAGGCUGCCAUGGAAAGGGAAAGGGAACUAGAGCACAGGGCUGUGGAUGCUUCCACAGCACUUGUUAGAAUUCAGGUGAGACAGAAUUCUUGGAUAGACCGCUACUAUCACUUGUUUACAUUUCAAAUAGGCCAUCCAACUUGAUAUGCUGUUAGUUUCUGAGUGUUGGCUUUCUCUUCUUAAAUUGUUUUCUCCUUCUUUUCGGCAUGGAAAUUCAGAAAACCUUUGUAUUUUCAUAUGCUACAUAUAUGAACGAUGUAAAGAUUCUAUGUGGAACUCUUGUUUCCCAAAAACUACUUUGAUCUGACUUUUUAAUUGGAUGGUAUUUCAGAGAAUUGCUGAUGAAAGGACAGCGAAAGUGGCAGAUCUUGAACAGAAGGUGGCAUUGCUUGAGGUAGAUGAACUUAUCUUCAAUGCAAUUUGUUCCCUCAUAUACUUGAAUUUCAUUCAAAGAAUUGACAAAUAAUACUCAGGCCGAAUGUACAUCUCUGAAUCAAGAGCUGCAAGAUAUGGAAGUUCGUGCUCGCAGAGGACAAAAGAAGGCCCCAGAUGAAGCAAACCAAGUGAUCCAGGUAUGUUAUAUUAGGUUAUCAUGAUCUACAUCGUGGAAGUUACCUUCAACAAUGAGUUCUUAGCACACUUUCAAAUUUUCUUUUAGAAGGAAAAACUACAGAACAUAUUUCCAAAAUGUACUUAUAUGCAAAAAGUAUUUAUGAUCCCUUGGUAACUCUGAUAACUCAUGUAUGUGAGUUUAAAUCUUCUACUGGAUUUUAUGGUGGGUCGUUUUCACAUAAAAAAUUACAUGGCGUUGUCAAAAUCUACUCCAGCUUAGUACAUAAUUCUUGAAAACAACUUUUAUCAAUUUUGAGAAGUUCAGAUUUUGGCUAAUCCAGAGGAGUUACUUUUAAUAAUGCAGAUUCAAGCAUGGCAGGACGAAGUGGACCGUGCUCGGCAAGGUCAAAGAGAUGCUGAGGAGAAACUUUCUUCAAUGGAGGUAUGUAUGUUACUUACCUCGGAAUUCUUUAUAACAUGAUUUUUGUUGUUUACACACGAUCUGUUUCAUUGUUAUAGGCUGAAAUGCAAAAGUUGAGGGUUGAAAUGGCAGCCAUGAAGAGGGAUGCAGAACAUUACUCACGCCAGGUAAUAUCGACAGUUUCUGAGAGUCUGUCUCUUCUUGUCAAUGCAUUAACAGUUUCUGAUUUUUUUCGUUUCUCCUAGUCUAUACUUAUGGCAUGUCCUAGUUACUACUCUUUUUCUAUAAAGUGGCUUAGGCAGACCUGAUAGUUAUCUGUUAAACCCCUUGGCGUUUUUAUUUCAUUGAAUGCAAUAAAUUUCAUUGCCCAAUAAAAUACUUAUGAAUAUUUUGUGGGAAAGACCCACUCUACUUGUUAACACGUCUUGUGAUUAUGACAGACUCAUUCGAAUGGUUGCUAAACAAAAGUGCCUACAAUUAAUUGAUUUAUCUUAAAUUUGCUCGUCAAGUGGUAUCUUUAAUGCAUAUGAUUAUGUGACAUGAGUUUAAUCGUUAUAUCCCUGACCUAGUAGGAGCACACGGAGCUGGAGAAACGCUACCGUGAACUAACAGAUUUACUGGUAACCUGAACUUCUUGAAUGUACUGAUUCUAUAGAUCAAAGUCAUAUUGGGAAGUUGUCUGAUAGCUUCUGGCCAUGGGUUUUGAUUCAGUACUAUAAGCAAACGCAACUAGAGACUAUGGCGAGUGAGAAGGCUGCAGCGGAGUUUCAGUUGGAGAAAGAGGUCAAACGUCUUCACGAAGCACAGGUCCGACGUCAAAGCUCUCUACGGUUCAUAUAUGUACUUUUACUUUUUAUAAUAUUUACAAGGAAGGUUCUAAACUUGUUGAUUCAGGUAGAGGUAGAAAGAAGCAGAGUUUCGCGACGCCCAUCAGCAACUUGGGAAGAAGAUUCUGAGAUUAAGACACUUGAGUAUGUCUUUUAGCUAUGUCUGUGUUCUAAGUAACCUAGAAUAUGAUGCUGAUAUAUAUGUUGAGUUUGUUGUUCGAUAUUGACCGAAAACAAUUUCAGGCCUCUUCCAUUGUAUCACCGACACAUGGCUACAGCGAGCACACAGGUAGAGAUUUGGGAACCCAUUAAGAAAAACUCUGCUUGUCGGCGUUCUCUUUUAACUUUACUCUUAUGUUUGCUUUGUUCGCCUUCUGUCUUCAGUUGCAGAAUGCCGUGAAACUGUUAGACUCAGGAGCUGUAAGGGCCACUAGGUUCCUUUGGCGGUACCCAAUAGCACGGAUUUUCCUACUUUUUUACCUUGUAAGACGCUCGCUUAUCUAUUCAAUCUCAUUCGCCUUACUUGUGAAUUUAUGGUACAUCAAAAUGACAUCUUUUAUGAAUUUACAGGUCUUUGUUCAUCUCUUCUUAAUGUAUCUAUUACACCGACUCCAGGUAUGUUUGGUCCUUUUACACUGAAUAUCACAUCAUAGUCAUGGAACUCAACUUCUUGUCGUUCCUAAAUCUCAUCCUCUUGUAGGAGCAAGCCGAGGCCCAGGAAGUUGCUGAAAUGACCAACAACGUUUUCAGACCAUAACAGAUUCCAUGAGAAGCAACAAAUGGGGUUUUAAGAGAUUGCUGAGUGAGAAAUGUGGAAGAAAGAGGCAUAACUAUGGAUUAAAUAGAAGGCUUUAAACUUUUUAUAUAGAGGCUAUAGCACAGAUUGUUUUUUUUUUCUCUUCUAACCCGUGGGUAUGGUAAAUGGGGUUUAUACACGCUGUUUGAUAGGCAUGGUUGGUUUUAAAAGCAUUUGAAUAUAUGUCUGUUGAGCCUAAUUUUAGUUCAGUUUGCUUAUUUUCUAAAGGCCGAACUCGGUUUAGUUUGGUCACAGUAAGCUAAUUGAAACGAAAAUUUCAAUUCAGAAAAUGGAGAAAACAAGAGGAAAGGUUCAUCAAAACCUUAAUAAACAAACAACAAAACCAUUUGUUAGUAAAUGGCAAAAGAAGAGGCUUUUCUGUCUGUUAAAUGACUCAUAUAACCAUCUUUAUGCUUAACAUUGCCGUCUCAACAGCUUCAUAUUGGUCAUCUGAAGAUAAGUAUAAAAACAAACAGCUUUAAGCGGGCAAAAGUAAUGACAGAAAAAAUCUACAAGAUGCAGAGCCAACAAGACAGACGAAUGUUAUAUUACCGAUUUAAAGGUGGAAAUUUUAAGGGAAAAGCGGCUGGUGUAGGAGCCCUGUUGUUUCGGGAUAUCCCAACAUUAUGUUAAGAUUCUGCAAUGCUUGUCCUGAAGCUCCUUUCACGAGAUUAUCAAUCUGCAACACCAAAGAACUUUUAUAUACAAAAUAACAUCGUCGAAAGCUAAAGAUGAGUUUAUAAUAGAGGAUGGUUAUGCCUAAUUACCACUGAGAUUAUGAUAGCUCUUCCGGGGAUUCGAUCAGGAAAGACACUCAUAUGACAAUAGUUGGAUCCUCUAACGUUGUGUGUCCGAGGAACAACUCCUUCAUCCAACACUUUGACAAAUUCUUCAUCCUACAAAACAUUUUUGGAACAUAAAUAAGUAACAAAAGUAGUAACUGUGGCUUACAACACAAGAGUAAUCAUCACCUCAUAAGACAUCCUCAAUUGAUGGUGUAAGUCUUCGGUUCUAACCCCGGGAGCCAUUUCCACAUAUAUAGUCGAUUGCAUUCCACGGAUCUACCCAGACAACUGGAAUCAGUUAAUGGGUUUUAAGGCAAAAAAUAUAGAAAUCAUGCUUAAGAUUAUAUGUACCAUUGGCAUGAGAUGCGGCGUAAAACUGACAGUUACUUUUGAUUGUGCAACAUCAGAUAAUCCCUGUUCAAUUUCAGGAACUGCAAAACAAAAGAGAUAUUGAAUUCAAAUCAUAGCAAAAUUUCCAACUAAUUGUGAUAAUUAUUUUGUGACAUACCAUGGCGAUGCCGGGUGACCCCAUAAGAAGAAAUGCCUUCAGCUAUCUCAGAGUAAAGAUUCGCCUCCUUAGCACCACGUCCUGAUGAAAAUUUCAUAUCAGUCAAGAAACUAGAAACACUGCAUCAUUGUUCAUUAAAAAGAUCACAGAGUAAGCGCAAACCUGCUCCACUAACACCAGAUUUUGCAUCGAUAAUAAUGUUUUCAUGUUUGAUGAGAUUUGCCUGCACCAAAAUCAACACAUUGAGUAGAGUUGAAUAGAAGACUAGGCAGUCAAAUAAAAUCACAUUCCAGAAUAGAAUAUAAAAAAAAAACCUUUAUUAAAGGAACAAGAGGAAGUUGAAUCGUAGUAGGGUAACAGCCUGGGUUAGCAACAAGUCGUGCCUUUUUUAUGUCCUCCCUUAGUAUCUCUGUUAGACCAUAUACAACUUCUUUCUGAACCCAGUAUGACACUAGGUAAGUAUAACCAUUAUGAACACAACAUACCUAAAAUCAAGCAGUAGCAUUGAGAGAAAUGUACCUGUAACUCUACUGCCUUGUGUGGCUGACCAUACCAUUCUUCAUAUUCUGCAAUAUUACGCAACCGGAAGUCCUGAAAAGCGUAUUUUAGAUGGGCAUAUAACUGAAAAAAAAAAGAACCAAAAAAACCAUUUCUUCAAGGAUUACCGCUGAAAGAUCAACUAUUUUUAAUGCAGUAGGCAGUUCCUUGAUGAUUUCCUGUCAAAAUACACACACUCAUUUCCGUUAAGCUAAGAAAAGCUUUUAAAAAAAUUGAGAUGGAAGAAUGAAAGGAAAAUGGACCUGGGUUGUUCCGUGAGGCAAACAGCAGAAUACAGCAUCCACAGUAGAAAAAUCUGCAUCCUUUACCAAGAUCAAACUAGGUAGUUUCUGAGGACAGGAAAAAUAUCUAAUCAUUGAUCACUAUACACCAUCACAAAGUAUCAUUUGAACAGAUUCAUUACUUGGAAUUUUACUAGGGAUAGAGAUCACUUAUACUUGAGCUCUGAGGUGUGGGAAAACGCUUUCCAUUGACUGGCCAGCUUUUCUAUCAGCAGUCAUCAGAGUGACCUGGAAAUGCGGAUGGUUUGCUAGAAGCCUGACGAUCUGCCGUUCAAUAAAGAAGGGAUUCCAAAUCAUUUGUUAAAAAUCAAAACUUACCAUCUCAUGCAUUUGAAUCAAAACUUGAAAUGCCUUAUCUAUUCUUUUAUUGGAAGAAGCUAAACUUUGCAUAUGUUCACUAGUUAAGCUAAAUAACCUUAAAACCGAUGACUAUAAGGCUCUUUUUCUUCCUUUUGUUGGAAGAAGCUAAACUUUGCAUACUUUCACUAGUUAAGCUAAAUAAGGAGGACAAUACCCAAAAAGCAACAAACUUGUAACAAGGUGCAUACCACUUAAGCUCUGAUUAAUUUCAAAACCAAAGAGAUCACUAAAACAAACAAUUCCACGGAAAUUAAAGACAGGUUCAACAUUGCACAAACCUCAGCACCAGUGUAGCCACUUGCACCAAGAAGACCAAUCCGAAUAUCCUUUUCAGGUUUAACAGAACUACUAGCUGAAACUCUGAAGCUCAUUGAAGAUGGAGAAGCCACAUGGGAUCCCAAAGAAAGCUUCUUGACUCGUUUAUCAGCUACACGAAUUCUCCUUUCCCCCUUUUCAAAACAGAGAAAACCCAGAUUUUAUCAGAUUACAGAAACACAAAACAAGCUACAAUGAGCUUAAAUAGGAUCAAAACUAGGUUGAAUUUCAUCAAUGAGGAUUCAGUGGAAAAAUCAGAAACUAGAAACAGAGAGAUUUUAAGAGUUUUAGAAUUGACCUUGAACCAGCAUCCUUGGAUUGAACUAAAAGUUGACGCAGUACUCAUUCUUGGAUUUGAUUCUGCAACAAUUCAAAACUCAGAAUCGAACUACCAAUUCACCAAACAGGAACAAAAAAAGGACGAAUUUUUUUGCUCAGGAAGAAAUUAACUUCUCUCAAUGUGUGAUUUGAGAUUGAGAGUCAAUUAUGGUAGUGAAAUCAAAUACCCGUUAACUCUUCGUCACUCUCUCUCUCUCUCUCUCUCUAUACGAAGUGGUCGGAGAAGUUCGACGGAGAAGAAGACUGCAGAAAAAACACGACAAAGAUUGUGGGAUGAAACGCAAAAAACGACGUCGUUUCAGCUAGCCAUACUUAAAAACCUAUAUCAAACGACGCCGUUUAGAGGAAAAAACCCGUGGACUUUAACGGGUUACCCGGAGGUAGACCCGGUUUAUCUACGGAGCGAUAACGACGAAUUAAACGUUUGCAGAAACGCGAUAAUUUCUUGGCGUUUGCAUCAAGUGACGACAAGAAUAUGGCAUUUUGGUAAAUAUAGAACUAAGAAAAACAGUUAAGAGAAUUUGUUUCUACGGAGUCAAAAGAAGAAAUCUAGAGAAAAAGCUCCAAACUUUUUUUCCGGUUUCUUCUGUCGUCAAAUCAAUCACUAACAGUGGGAACAGUCUCUGUUUCUACUGGGUAUUUUCGCAAAACCCUUAAAACUCUCAAGUAAGAGAGAAGAAGAAGAAGAAGAAAGUGUGAGAUUCCGACGAACAAACGGGAAUAAAAAUGAUAACUUUACGCGGCGCUGCUUCUACGAGGUCAAGGAUCGCUCUUUCGGGUCGGAUUGAAACAGCUUUAGAGAAUAUCUACAGAAAAUUUAAUCUUACUCCGAUUAAUGAUGAGACGAGACAGAGACUGUCUUCCAUUCCUGAGAAUUUGGGUUUUGAGUUGGUCAGGAAUGUUUUUAGUUUGCAGGCUGGUUUGAUAUACAAUCUCGACAGCUUCAUCGUUUCUAAAGUUAACCAAGCCGUUAAUUUUACUGGCUAUCCACGGCUGAGCUCAGGUGUGUCUCCGGCGAACUCUCGUAGUCCCUCUGGAAGACACGUGUGCAGGGUUCUUCAAGGUUAGUAUCAGAAUUUAGAAGACAACCCAUUGUAAUAGUAAAAAUCUUUACUUUGUUAUGAUUUGUUGGCGAUUGCAGAAGAGAUGUCUGUUGAUUCUGAUGCUCCUUCUCCUAAGUCUUUGAAAAGUGAAGAAAAUGGAGGAUCUCUGCACAUUCCACAGCUGGUAGCUUUGGGUGAACUUGAAUUUAAGAAGGCGUUUUUGUUACUUAGCUAUAUUCCAGGGUAAUGUUUGUGAUGCAAGUUUUCCAAUUUCUUACUACAUCUCUAUAAUCUCUAAGUGUUUGGUUUUGGUGGUGACAACUACCUUUUUUGGUAAUACUUAACUUUUUUUUCCUUUUGAUGUUAUGCAGGCAACAACUGGGCCAGGUUACAACUGCUGAUGAGAUUAGACUAUGGAAAGAUUUGCCAAUGGUUGCAUAUGAAGCAGCCGUUUGGGACCGUUUGGGGCGGCGUUAUUGUCCUCAAACAGACCGAAGAAUGGUAUGGUUCUAAUUCUACAUAUUGGGUAUUUUUAUAUUUUCAUGUUUGCAUUUUUGAAGUAGAGACUCGGUGUUAACUAAAAGAAAUAUUUCGUACUGCUACAUAUUUCAUGAGAAUUUGAGUUUGGUAUCAAAGUUGUAUUAACUGCAUCUUCUGUCAUGCUUCAUUUCCCCAGUUGCAAUGGGAUAGUGGCAAGACCCAUUACUAUCAGUGUCAUGUUGCUCCCGAUGGUAGCUACACAUUCAAGGUUCAUUCAGCUCUUUAAGUACUAUCUUUCAUGCUUGCUUUUUCCAUGUGGCAUAUGUACUGUGUCAAAAUUUUGAUUCAAUACCUAAUUCAAGAAGCCGUAGGAGCAAUUCUUUGCAAGUCGCUAUCAUAUGUCUAUUAAACAUUGUAUCUUAAUAGUAGGAUAAAGUCCUUGACAUUGACUCAAUAUACUGGUACUUAUCGACAUACUGUGUUCACAGGGCCCCCUUCUUGAACACACUGGAACACACUUGCACAAGGUCUUGGGUGAUGAAAAUGUUUUAACUGUCAAAUUCGCGGAUGUCCCGAAAAACUCAUCAACAUAUAGCAAUGACCGUUACUUUACAUACAAAGAAAUUGCCAAGAACGGUAUCAUGAUUGGUUUACGUCGUUAUCAAUUCUUUGGUGGGUUUUUUCCCUUUUCCUCUUGAUUAACUACCAUUUAUGUCGUUACACAUACACAACUAUUCAUUGUAAUGUUGCUAAGUUAUGUCUACCUAUACACAUAUCAUACUCUUGCUUUAGAUUUAGAACCCGUUAUUUGUAGCUCUUUCUAACAUUCUAUUGAACAGUUUUCAAAGAUGGAGGAAAAGAGGAAAAGAAGAAAGAUCUUUCUACAAAGAAAGUGAAAUGCUACUUUAUACGCACGGACUCUACAGCUUCUUGUGAUAUGGAAAAUCCCUAUAUUUUUACUGGAAAGUCAAUUCAUGAAGCUCGUAUGCAUUUUAUGCACGUGCAUAGAGCACCAACUUUGGCGAAUUAUAUGGCAAGGUUCAUUAUAGGAAGUAUAUGAAAAUAUUCUACUGUAUCAUCUCUAAACUCUUCCAUAGAUGUUCCUUUGUUAUCAGAGUCACCUUUCUUUUGCUGAUGCUUCAGGUUUUCCUUAAUUCUCUCAAAGACUAAAACGCUUGAAGUUGACAUGACUGGGAUUACCUUUGAUCCAAUUGAUGAUAUACACUGCCAUGUACGUCCUUAAUUCAUGUUUCCUUUAGGAACUGCGUCUCUAAUGCCUUUACUUAAUUGUAUUCGCUAUGUUCUUUGACCUUUUUCCAUUUCUUCCAAUUGCAGGAUCAAGAUGGGAAAGAUGUUCUUGACAAGAACAAAAAACCUUGUAUACAUUCAGAUGGAACUGGCUACAUCUCUGAGGACCUUGCUCGGAUGUGUCCCCUAAAUAUAUUUAAAGGGAAAUGUCUCAGAAGUGAAAAUAUUCAGGUCCUUACUCUGACUUUUAUGGUUGGCUAGUAGGCCCUUUGUUCACUCUUUUUUUACUCUUACGUUUACGUAUCAUGUUUUUUUCUUUCUCAUAUUUGUUUGAAUUAAGAGUAAGAUUUCAAAUUUUGAUGGACAGGAAGCUUGUAACCAAGACCCGGUAUGUAUAAUAUAUAGUUCACAACUAUGUUUAUGCCUGAUUCUAUGUUUGUCUAUUAUUGAACUCAAGUAGUAAACAAUUGCUUUUUCCAACAGCCUCUUUUGAUCCAGUUUCGGAUGUUUUAUGAUGGCUAUGCUGUUAAGGGAACUUUUCUCUUAAACAAGAAAGUAAGUCCGCUCUCUUUCACAUUACAACAUAUUUUUUUUUUUUUUGGUUUUUAAAUGUUUGCAAACUAUUUCUAAUUUUGCUCCCAAUUUGGCAGCUUUGUCCUCGGACUGUCCAGGUUCGACCUUCGAUGAUCAAGGUGUCUAAAGAUCCCUCAUUGUCAAAUUUUAGCACCUUUAACGCUUUGGAGGUAGUAACUACAAGGUAUUUUGUUCGUUGACUACUUGUUGUUUUGAUACUGAAGUUCUCUCGUUCAAAUGUUCUUAUCGUGGAGUGAUGUUAUCCUAGUGACAUCUAGUUGUUUUCAUCAUCCAGUAAUCCACCAAGAAGAACAAAGCUAUCAAAAAAUUUGGUUGCGCUGCUUAGCUAUGGAGGAAUCCCUAAUGAAUUCUUUUUGGAUAUAUUGCUCAACACGCUGGAAGAGUCUAAAAGCAUAUUCUACAACAAACAUGCUGCGCUUAAUGGUGCUUAAGAUUCCAAACCUUUCUUGUUCUUUUGCAUUUAUUUCUAUUCAUGUGCCUAGAACUAUUCAUUUUUAAGAAGUCAAUUUUUCUGUGCAGUUGCUCUUAAUUAUGGGGAAAUGGACGACCAGAACGCCGCACAGAUGAUAUUGGUUGGUAUCCCCCUUGACGAACCACACUUGAAGAAUCAUCUGUCUAUUCUUUUAAAGACAGAGAAAAAUGAUCUCAAAGCAGGAAGACUUCCUGUGACCGAAUCAUACUAUCUCAUGGGGACAGUGGAUCCCACCGGAGAGCUAAAGGAAGAUGAAGUCUGUGUAAUCCUGUAUUCUACUCAACUCUUCUUUUACUUUUUCAUUUUGAGUUUUACAUGGAAACUUGAAACAGUGACUUGCUUCUUUGGAAUUGUGAGUUAGUUGUUCAUUUCGUCACUGCUUCUUUUCAUGGUUUUGUAGUGAGUCUGGGCAAAUUUCAGGAGAAGUGUUAGUUUAUAGAAAUCCUGGAUUACAUUUUGGAGACAUACAUAUUCUCAAGGCUACAUAUGUUAAGGCCUUGGAAGAGUAUGUUGGAAAUUCCAAGUAUGCUGUGUUCUUCCCUCAGAAAGGUCCAAGAUCCUUGGGAGACGAGAUUGCAGGUGGUGACUUUGAUGGUGAUAUGUAUUUCAUAUCAAGAAACCCUGAGGUAAUCCACCACAUUAGACAGUAAAAUUAAUUAUUGUUGUGACCUGAUUUCUUGGGUUUGCUUUCUGUUUUAGCUGCUUGAACACUUCAAACCAAGUGAACCGUGGGUGAGUUUGACUCCUCCCAGUAAAAGUAACUCUGGUAGAGCGCCAAGCCAGCUUUCACCAGAAGAGUUGGAAGAAGAACUUUUCGAAAUGUUCCUGAAGGCAGGAUUUCAUGCCAGGUACUCCCAACUCACUUUUAAGCUCUCAAUAUUGAAAGACUCAAAACUGUCUUGGAUUUGCAGAGAAAAUCAAUCUUUGAAAUGUAUGUCUUUUUUUUUUCUCGGGUUUACAGCAAUGUUAUAGGGAUAGCUGCAGAUAGCUGGUUAACAAUAAUGGACCGCUUACUCAUACUAGGAGAUGAGAGAGCUGAGGAAAAAGCUGAAAUGAAGAAGAAAAUGCUAAAGCUGAUUGAUAUAUACUAUGAUGCUCUUGAUGCACCAAAGAAAGGGGAUAAGGUCUAUCUUCCAAACGAGCUGAGGCCCGACAUCUUUCCACAUUACAUGGAGCGGGAGAAAAAGUUCAAGUCCACUUCUAUUCUUGGAUUAAUCUAUGACUUUGUUAAAUCACAGACAACAGAGGAACCCACACCAUCAUCUGGUAAAGGACCUUUCUUGUUAUACAUAUAAUCAGACCACCAAAGAAAUCAUUAAUCAUGAUAUGUGUUUUACUGUGGUUUACAAUUUAGAGAUCAGUAAACUCCCCUGUUUCGAAGAUGAGCCGGUCUCAGAGUUUCAUAUGGAGAAAUGUAGACGGUGGUAUGAUAAUUACAGAAGUGAGAUGACCCAGGCGAUGAAGACUGAUAAGGAUGAAUCAGCCAAUGAAGUUAUUCAGAGAUACAAGCAGGUAAGGUCCUCAAUCCGAUGUCACCACUCCUGCAGAUUCAAUUAAGUCUAAGAGCAAAGAUCUGACCAGUAGACUUCAUGAAUCUCCAAUGUUUUGUUGAUUGGUUCCGUGGAAGCAUGUAACCAACAAGAGUCAAUCAUGCUUAUUAAAGAAACGGUUUAUUUGUCGUGUGUCAGGAGUUCUAUGGUGCUGCAGGGUUUGAAGACAGCAAGAAAAGUCUGGAAGAACUCUAUCCGCAAGCCCUCACACUGUACAAGAUCGUUUACGAUUAUGCCAUUCAUGCAGGUGUUUCGAAAUGUGGGUUUGUCUGGAAGGUAGCAGGACCGGUACUGUGCAGAUUCUAUCUAAUGAAGAAAAUGCAGGAGAAAUCUUUAGUGUGUGCACCAUCUGUGCUUAAAGAGCUUUGGGGUUGAAGAAUACAACCACUCUUAGUUCGCCACUGUUGUGGUAAUAAUUAAUAAGCCUUUUUGUUGUUGCUUCAGUGUCUAAUAAGAAGCGUAUGAGGCAAGUAACUUAACUAAUAGAAGCCAAGAUGUGUGUAUUGUAGUGCCUUUGGUUUGGUUUUAAUGUAGAUUUGUUCUCUAAUGAAUAUUUUGCUUAUGAAAUGAAUAAAAAAUAUGUUAAAUAAGGAAGCUUUUCUAUUAAUUAAUUGCCUAUGAAGGUGUUUUUUUGUAACCUUGAAACUUGUAAUAUAAAUGUUGAGAAUUCAAAAAGGGUGAAAAUAAAAUAAAAAAAUAUCGCGUUUGCAAAGGCAGUUCCUCUCAAAAACAAGGUCGCCCUAGCCGUCAAAAAGUUUUUCUCCGAUGGCCGGUGAUGGAUGGCUUCCACAGCAUCGUCGCCGGUCCCUCUCUCCAUAGUUGCUCUUCAAUGGUCUCGUGUUUACCUAGCUGCGUCGUCUUUCUUCUUUCCCUUUUUCGAUCGACGGUGGUGGCUCAAUUUUGAGUAGUGGCAAUUUCGGUGUGAAAUAAUAGGUAAAAGGUUGGUUGUGUUUAUUCAUUUGUUGUGAGUAUUUAUACAUAUAGGAUCUAAGGGUUUUCCCUUGUACAUGAGAUAAGACUAAAUCUUCUAUGAGAUACAUAUCGAAGUCCAUUAGGCCCAUUACCCCCCCUCAAGUUGGCGGGGAGAGUUACCAACGCCGAACUUGGACAGUAACUUAUCGAAAGCGGGUCGCGGUAGAGCUUUAGUAAGAACAUCUGCGACUUGUUCUUUGGUAGAAAUAUGUUCCAUAGUGAUGAGCUUAUCUUGAACUGCAUCUCGAACUUGAUGACAAUCGGAUUCAAUAUGCUUUGUGCGUUCGUGAAAGACGGGAUUAGAAGCAAUGUGGAUAGCCGCUUGACUGUCACAAAAGAGUUGUAUAGGCCGUGUAUGACGAAAGCCGAAGGUAUGAAGAAGCUCGCGGAGCCACUUGAUUUCUCGAAGUGUAUAUGCCAUCGCGCGAUAUUCAGCUUCAGCCGACGAGUUAGAAACAGUAUGUUGCUUCUUAGUCUUCCAUGAGAUUGGAGAGGAGCCUAAGAAGACCGCAUAUGCGCUGAGAGAUCGUCUAGUAAGAGGGCAUGCAGACCAAUCGGAAUCACAAUAAGCAAUUAAAGAAAUCUCACUGUCCGACCGAAGAAGAAUCCCUUGUGCAGGACACCCUUUAAGAUAUCUAACAACACGGAUGGCAGCGUCCCAAUGUGGGAGAAGAGGAGUGUUCAUGAACUGCGAGAGAAUAUGGACAAUGUAGCUUAGUUCAGGGCGAGUGAUACUAAGAUAGGUAAGACGACCAACAAGGCGACGAUACUCUUCUGGUCGUUUGAGAACAGGACCCGUGGCUGAGGCAAGUUUGUGAUUAGGUUCCACCGGAGUAGCAAACGGCUUGGCACCAAGAAGAUUAGCUUCGGUGAUAAUGUCGAGAGCAUACUUGCGUUGAGAAAGAAAGAUGCCAUCAGGACCACGAGAGACCUCAAUACCCAAGAAAUACUUCAGCGGACCAAGAUCUUUCAUAUGAAAACACUUAUGCAUAUACGUCUUGAAACGUUCUAUUUGAGACAAAUCAUUGCCUGCGACGAUAAAAUCAUCAACAUAAACAAGAACGUGGAGAAUGACGCCAUCUUGUACAAAUGAGAAGAGUGAAUAAUCAGGAUAACUUUGCUUGAAACCAAAUGUGCGUAAGGCUGUAGCAAGUUUCUCAAACCAGCAACGUGGAGCCUGGCGAAGUCCAUAUAAUGAUUUCCGAAGAUGACACACUUGAUUAGUACCAUUAGUAUGAAACCCGGGAGGCAAUUUCAUAUAAACUUCUUCGUCUAAAUCACCAUGAAGAAAUGCAUUAUGAACAUCCAUCUGAUGAACUUCCCAUUGUUUAGCAGCAGCAACACCAAGAAGAAAGCGGACCGUUGUCAUCUUAGCGACUAGCGCAAAAGUUUCUGUAAAAUCAGAUCCUUCUACUUGGCGAUUUCCGAGGGCGACUAAGCGAGCCUUGUAAUGUUCAAGAGUACCAUCAGAGUUGUAUUUGAGUUUAUAGACCCACUUGCUGCCAAUAGCUUUCUUCCCUGGAGGUAAGGUAGUGAUAUCCCAAGUAUGAUUUUCUUCAAGAGCGGUGAUUUCUAAACCCAUAGCAUCACACCAUUCUUUGAUUAGAGAAGCUUGGUGAUAGCUUGUUGGUUCUGUGGUGGAGGUAAUAGCUUCCAUAAAAACUUGAUGCAAUUCCGAAAAUUUUUCGUCAGAAAUAGAUAUGGGAAUAGAAUCAAGUAUCUUACCGCAGACCGUUUUAGCGAGACUAGGAUCAGGUAGAGGUGUAGAAGAAGCAGUAGGGAGUGUAUUAGUAGUAGGAGUAGUAGUAGUAGGAGCUGUAGUAGUAGUAGUAGUAGUAGUAGUAGUAGUAGUAGUAGUAGUAGUAGGAGUUGUGGUGUGAUGAGCAACAUAGUCUUUGAGAAGAACGGAUGGUUGUUUCACACGGUGUCCUUUACCAAGCAAUUCCGGUAAACCCGGUGAAGCCUCAGGUGAGGAAGAUGACGAGCUCGACGAGCUAGAUGAGUGUGAAGGUGUAUGUGAACUAGGUGACGAAGGUGAAGCUGGAGUAGAAGUCGAUGGUGAAAUCGGAGUCGGAGUCGUUAUCGGGGCUGGAGUUGGUGCCAAAGGUAACUCAGCCGUAGUAGGUAUCGGAACCGGAGGUGAUGCCGAUGAAAACAGAUCCGACGGAGGUGAAGGAGCAACCGACAAUGAUUGAAUCCAGUCAUCAUCUUGAAAGAUCGUAGAGGAAGGCAUCGUAGACGGAGAGACGGUGAGUGAACCAGUGUCUAUAGUAGCAAAUGGGAAGACUGUUUCUUGAAACACAACAUCCCGACUCACAAAAAAUUUAUUGUUAUCUAAAUCAUAAAGACGCCAACCUUUCUUACCAUAGGGGUAACCUACAAAUACACAUCGUCAAUUGCGUUCACCAAAUUUAUCCUUGUCACGAGCUCGAUAGUGAGCGUAGCACAAGCAUCCAAAAAUUCGCAAAGCUGAAUAAGAGGGGCGAGAUCCAAACAGUACUUCAUAGGGAGACUUUCCAUGAAGAAUUUUGGUGGGUGUGCGAUUAAUGAGAUGAGUAGCAGUAAGGAUACUUUCUCCCCAAAAUUUUCGAGGAAGAUGACUCUGAAAAAGACACGCACGGGCGACGUUUAGAAUGUGACGGUGCUUGCGCUCAACUCGACCAUUUUGUUGUGGUGUAUCCACACAUGAAGUUUGAUGAAUAAUUCCUUUUUCUUGAAAAAAUGAUGUGAGACACAGAAAUUCCGUACCAUUAUCGCUGCGGAUCGUCUUGACAGGUUUGUGAAAUUGACGUUCACUCAUUGCACAGAAGUUUCGAAUUAAUCGAGAGACUUCUGAUUUUUCAGCCAUGAGAAAAGUCCAGACAGAUCGCGAGAAGUCGUCAACUAUAGUCAGAAAGUAAACAGAUCCGCAUGAAGCGGGUGUGCGGUACGGUCCCCAAACAUCACAAUGAACGAGUUCAAAGCAAACUGUAGUUUUAUUAAGACUUGGAGAAAAAACUUCACGUGUUUGUUUAGCACGAUAACAAAUGUCACAACUUUUAAUGGAAUCUAAGCUACUACUAGAAAGAGUAAUCUCUGGUAAAGAACUCAAAACACCGGUAGAUGGAUGUCCUAAUCGAUGAUGCCACAAUGAUGCCGAUGAUGAUUCGUUGACAACUUUGUUAGCACGAGCAGCAAGAACACCCGUAAAAUAAUACACUCCCUCACGCUCUUCACCCGCACCAAUCAAAGUUCUCGUAAAACGGUCCUGCAAGAAACAUAAGGCAUCAGUAAAGAUUGCAAUACAUCCAGUAUGCUUUAGUAACUUGGCAACAGAGAUUAAUGUGCAAUUAAAAUCCGGCACAAAUAGCACAUCGGGAAGUGAAUAUGCUUUAUUUAGAGCAAGAGUUUCACGUUUAGUGGCACGAGAGGCAGUCCCGUCAGGCUUUGUGACAGGCGAAGGUAUGAUGUUUUUGACAUCCGUGAGUAACGUGACAUCGCCGGUCAUAUGAUGUGAAGCACCUGUGUCAAUGAUAACGUCAGUAAAUUGAGUUUUACCCGAUAACUUUUCUGUAGUGGUGGUCUGAUUUUGAGCUUGAAGUAGUGAGAUCAAUUGAUUGAUCUAAGCAUUGUUUGUAGAAGGAGAGCUAGUACUAGCAGCGUUAGCACGGCCUCUUCCACGAUAGCUAGAGGAUGAAGAACGUCCGCCGCGAUUGUUGUUGCCACGAUCAGUGUUGCCACGACCAGAUGAUCCUCGUGUCGUAGAGCCGUUAGAGCCAUUCUGUUCUAGCCACCAGUCCGGAUAACCAUGGACCAAAAAACACUCUGUUACUUCAUGGCCUUGACGAUGGCAGUGAGUACAAUUCAAAGAAGAGCGAUCGCGAAAUCGAGGAGCAGAGACUGCCGCUACUUGAGAUGGUUGCGAAAGUGGUGUGGUUUGAACUGAAAACCCGACAGCCUCUGUUUUGAUGGCAUCCUUGAUGCGUGAUGCGUUGAGGUUUUGUUCUUCACGAAUCACACGAGAAUACACUUGAUUUAGAGCUGGUAGAGGAUCUUGAUCGGUAAUUGUAGAGCGAAUAGGCCGGAAGCGUUCAUCCAAAUUUAGUAAGAAUUGAUGAACCUUGUCAUCUUCACGUUCUUUAGCAAUGUCAGGAGCAGCUGCACACGUACACGUCCGACCAGUCUUGUAGUUUUGUAGUUCUUCCCAAAGCUUGGUUAGUCUCCCAUAGUAAGCAAGAACAGAUUGGCCAUCUUGCUUACACGCCGAAAUUUCAUCUUUGAGCAAUUGUUUGCGGACACCGUUUCCGGUUGAGAAGCGUUGUUUGAGAUUAUCCCAAAGCUCUUUUGCAUCAGACACAAAGACAACAGUUGAACGUAUGGUUGGAUCAAUAGAUGUUCUAAUCCAACCGAUGAUCAUAGAAUUUGCAGCUUUCCAUGAUAUCAAAUCAGGUUCUGUCGUUAGCUUUGGUGUUGAACCAUCAAGAAAGCCGAGUUUGUGUUUUGCUUGGAGAGAAUUCAUGAGCUCUGUAGCCCAUUCAGAGUAAUUGUCUUCCUUUAAGACAACAUAAGAAAUCAAAGCACCGGGAUUAUCAGAAGCAUGAAGUUGAUAUGGAUUUGGGUUUGGUUUUGGUACGGUGGCGAUUUCUGACAUAGAGAAUGAUGUGUAGAAGAGAUAGAAGCGAAAGAGAUGAUUGCGGUGGCGGUGGUUGUGAAGAACAACGACGGCGGCGGCUUAUUUAAAAAAAAUUAGGUCACAGAAUUUAAUAGCUCUGAUACCAUGAAAUAAUAGGUAAAAGGUUGGUUGUGUUUAUUCAUUUGUUGUGAGUAUUUAUACAUAUAGGAUCUAAGGGUUUUCCCUUGUACAUGAGAUAAGACUAAAUCUUCUAUGAGAUACAUAUCGAAGUCCAUUAGGCCCAUUACGGUGGCUUGGCGUCGGAUAUGAGGAGUUAAUUUGCAGAUCUAUGGUGUUCUUCGUUGGUUCUGCUCUCAUGUGGCUCAGUCAAGGUUUGUUGCUGCUCGGAUGCUUUCUUCCGUUUUGGGGGUAGAGUUUUAGAUUCUCCGUUUGGGUGGAAAUUCUCUGAUCUGUUUUCAUUGGCUCUGUUCUCGUUGGAUUGGGAGUUGGUGAUGGUAUGUUGCGUGCUCCGGCUGCAUCUGUGGCAACGGCCUCCGUCAUUUAUCUUCAGGUUGUGUUUUUGCCUUUGGUUAAUUGCUCUGUUGGUUGGACGCGUGUAUCUUCUAGGUUUGGUUGUGUUUUAAUUUGGUUGAGGAGUGAAGCCUUAGAUUCAAGAUUAGGGUUGGCAUUAUUAGCUUUUAUCUCUGCCUCACUGUUAUCCUCCCUUCUGGAUUCUAGUGGUGUGAGAUGGUGAAGGUUUCGUUUGGUGGGUUCUUCCUUCGGAUGGUAGUCUUCUUUUGGUGUAGAGUUUCAGUUGUGAAUUGCUUUUGAGCUUUUGUUUUAUGCCAUUGUCCCUUUUCUUUAAGGUUUUUUCUCUCUUUUAUGUCCGUCCUUUGGGACCUUUAGUCUCUGGGGAUUUAUUUGUACCCGCCGGCUUUGUUUUCAGAAGGAUCUAUGUCCUUGCCGUGAUGUAUAACUCAAAUGUAUCCCAUCAAUGAAUCAUUUAGACAAAAAAAAAAAAAAAUAUUGAGAAUUUAAAACCUUGGAAACAAAGAAGAAAACAAAAUUUUGAUCGCGAUUUUGCGAUGGCAACAGCAAAAAACGCGAUUUUCUUACUUGGGCGUUUGCAGCGGCGGGGAGAAAUUUUGUAAUUCUGGUGGGUCGUGCUAGGGUAUUUUGGUAAAUUUAAAAAAGGAAUAAACGGCUAUUUGUGGACUGUAUAAAAUCUUCGUCAAGUCAAAUCCUUAAAAUCGAUUCACAGAAGAAAAAGCUACGAUUUUUUUUUUUGGGUCAGUGUAUCGUCAGAUCAACAACGUCGCAUCAACAAAGAAAUUUGAAAACUUGAGAACAGUUUCUCUUCUCAGUCACUGGGUAUUUAUUUGUACGAGAACCCUAAAUAGAAAACUGAUUCCGAUUUGGGGAAAAAGAUGAUGACCACUACCGGCGGCGAUGAAGUUUUUUCGCGGUCAGAAAUCGUUCUUCUGGGUAGUGUUGAAACCAUGUUGGAGAAAAUCUACGGGAAACACAAUCAUCAUCCUCCGAUAAAAGUGGAGACAAGACGGAAACUUUCUUCGAUUUCUGAGGAAUUGGCUUUGGAAACACUCAGGAAAGUUCUCAAUAUGGAGUAUGUGAAGACUCUCGAUGGGAUAAUCAUGUAUUUCGUUAACAAUGCGGCCACUGUUGAUGGCUCUCCACGGCUGAGUUCCGGUGAGUCUCCGCUUCAGUCUCCUACAACUCCUGGGAAAAAAGAGGUGUCUCUUGAUGGUGAAGAUCCGUCUCCUAAGUUCUUGAGAAGAGAUGAAACUGGAAGAACUAAUCACAUUCCUCCGCUAGUAGCUUUGGGUGAACUUGAAUUUAAGAAGGCGUUUCUGUUGCUUACCUAUCUCGGAGGGUAUGUUUAGGCUGGCGGUUUUUUCGAUCUUUUGCCAUCAGUUUUAUAUCUAUUUCUUUGGAAAGUGAUCGUUUUUGUUACAGGAAAUCCCUGGGGGAGGUUAUAUCUGGUGAUGAGAUCAGACAAUGGAAGGAUUUGCCAAUGGUUGCAUAUGAAAGUGCAGUGUGGUUCAAGUUGGGCCAAAACGAGCAAAGAAUCGUAUGGCACUUCUCUGUUAUGUUCUAUAUUGGUUGCUAUAUAUAUCAUGGUCUGUUGAACUGCUUGCUGCACUGCAAUUUCGGAGGAAUUAGAGUGUCGAGGUUGUACUAAUUGCUUCUUCUUACAUGCUUCUUUUCCCCAGUCGCUUGAAUCGGAUAGCGGGAAGACUCAUUACUAUCAAUGUCAUGUUACUCCCGAUGGUAGUUACAGAUUUAAGGUUCAACCGGGCUCUCCAACCACUAUCAUUCAUGUUUGCAUUUUCCCGUGUUGCAUAGGUUCUUUGUUACUUAUUGAUUGACUGUGUUCACAGGGUUAUCUUCUGGAGAACACUGGAACACACCUGCACAAGGUUUUGGGUGAUGAUAAUGUUUUAACCGUCAAAUUCGAUCAAUUACCAAAGGAGUCAACCUACUGUAACGACCCUUACUCUAAACACAAAGAGAUUGCUAAGAAUGGUAUCAUGGUUGGUUUACGUCGUUAUCAAAUUUUUGGUGGGUCUUUUUCCUUUUCUCUUGAUUAUCAUUUAUGUUAUUGCAAAUACAACACUUUUCCUUGUUAAGGUGCUAAGGCCAUGUCUAGCAGAUAUUGUCAUACUUUAGCACAUAGUACCUUGUUAACCUCUUUUAAAUAGUCUUCAAAGAUGGAGGGAAAGCAGAGAAAAAGAAGAGAAAUUCUACAAAGCAAGUGAAAUGUUACUUUAUACGCAUGGACUCUACAGCGUCUAGUGAUAUGGAAAAUCCCUAUAUCCUUGCCGGGAUGUCUAUUCAUGAAGCUCGGAUGCAUUUUAUGCAUGUGCAUACAUUGCCUUCUCCGGCCAACUAUAUGGCACGGUACUCUAGUUUCUUUUAAAUCUCUAGUGGAGGCAUCCUGAAGAUUUCUUACUGUUUUAGAGAUGUUUUCCUUUGUAAUCAGGGUCACCUCUCUUCUGUUGAUGUUUCAGGUUUUCUUUAAUUCUGUCAAAGACAAAAAAGCUUGAAGUUGACAUGACUGGGAUUACCGUCAAGCAAAUCGAUGAUAUACACUGCCAUGUACCUCUUUAAAUUCAUGUGUUCUUCAGGAACUGUAUUCACUAUAUGGGCUUUGACUUCUUUCCCUCUCUGACAAUUGCAGGAUCAAAGUAAUAAUGAUGUUCUUGAUAAGAAUGGGAAACCUCGUAUACACUCAGAUGGAACUGGAUACAUCUCUGAGGACCUUGCUCGGAUGUGUCCAGUAAAUAUUUUUAAAGGGAAAAACAUCAAAAGUGACAUUAUUCAGGUCUUUGUUCUAUUCCAUGACAAUUUAAUGGUUGAUUAGUUCACUCUUGUUUCCUUAUUAUGUUUGUUUCUGAUUUGUUUUGAAUCACAGGGAAAAACCUGUGGCCAAGAGCCGGUAUGUACUUUACAGGCCACGUUUAAGCUCGAUUCUGUAAUUGACAAUCGCUUACCACAAGUACUGACACUUUUUUUGUUUGUUUCCAACAGCCUCUGCUGAUCCAAAUUCGGAUGUUUAAUGAUGGCUCUGCUGUUAAGGGAAUUUUUCUAUUAAACAAGAACGUAAGUAGACUCUCUUUCAUGUCACAGAACCAGACUUUUGAGCUAUUCCUAAAUUUGCUCCCAUCCCAAUUUGGCAGCUUCCUCCACGGACCGUCCAGGUUCGACCUUCUAUGAUCAAGGUGUAUAAAGAUAAAAAUUUGUCAAAUUUUAGCACUUUUAACUCCCUGGAGGUAGUCACUACAAGGUAUAUGUCUCUUGGAUUUAUGUUAUCUUCAAGCUGAACUUCUCACUCGAGGUUCUUAUUUGAUGAUCUUUGGUUGUUUCCAUCUUCCAGUAAUCCACCAAAAAGAGCGAAGCUAUCGAAGAAUUUGGUCGCGCUGCUGAGCUAUGGAGGAGUGCCAAAUGAUUUUUUUUUGGAUAUAUUGCUCAACACGUUGGAAAAGAAGAAUACCGUAUUCUUCAAAAUACGCGCAGCGGGUAAAGGUAUGGUUAUAACUCUAAAGCUUUGGAGUUGUUUUGCAAUUUUCGAGCUCCGAAACUGAGUGAACUAACAUAAGAUGUUUUCCUAAAGUCUUUAAUAUCAUAGGAAGCAUGAGAAGUCACAUGAUGGCUCUUUUCUUAAGUUUAUUUGUUUUCUGCAGCUGCACUUCGUUACGGAAUAUGGACGAUAAGAACGCUUUACAAAUGAUCAUGGCUGGUAUCCCCCUUGAUGAGCCAUAUUUGAAGCAUCAUCUAUCUCUUCUCUUAAAGAUAAAGAAAGAUGAUCUCAAAGCAGGAAGACUUCCUAUUGACGAAUCAUACUAUCUCAUGGGGACAGUGGAUCCCACCGGAGAGCUAAAGGAAGAUGAAGUCUGUGUCAUCCUGUAUGCUACCAAAUCCUUCUUCUUUUUAUUUUAUUAUAGGUGUAGAUGGAAACAUAAACAAACCGUGACUUGCUUCGUUGGAGUUGUGAGUUAGCUGUUCAUUUCCUCACUACUUUCUUUUUCGUGGUUUUGCAGCGAGUCUGGCCAAAUCUCAGGGGAUGUGCUAGUUUACAGGAAUCCUGGACUACAUUUUGGAGACAUACAUAUUCUACAGGCUACAUAUGUUAAAACCUUGGAACAGUAUGUCGGAAAUUCCAAGUAUGCUGUGUUCUUCCCUCAAAAAGGUCCAAGAUCUUUGGGCGACGAAAUUGCAGGUGGUGAUUUUGAUGGCGAUAUGUAUUUCAUAUCCAGAAAUCCCAAGGUACACUGCUACGUCCAUCACAGUUAUAGUAAAAUUUCAUUGCUGAGACCUUACUUAUGAACUGCAACUUACUCUGUUUAGCUACUCGAGCACUACAAGCCAAGUGAACCGUGGGUGAGUUCUUCUCCACCUAGUAAAAUUUACACUGGUAGAAAGCCAAGUGAACUUUCACCCGAACAGUUGGAAGAAGAGCUUUUCAACAUGUUCUUAAAGACAGGAUUUAGUCCCAGGUAUGUUAUUUAAUUCUUGGGUUACUUUCACGGUCACAUAGUCCUUUGGGUUAAACAUGCCUUGUUUUUUGGAUUCACAGCAAUGUUAUAGGACAGGCUGCAGAUAGCUGGCUAGGAAUAAUGGACCGCUUCCUCACCUUAGGAGAUGAGAGUGUUAAGGAAAAAGCUGAAAUGAAGAAGAAAAUGCUAAAGUUGACUGAUAUAUACUAAGAUGCUAUUGAUGCACCAAAAACGGGGACUGAGGUCAAUCUCCCGUUCGACGUAAAGGCCGAUGUUUUUCCACAUUAUAUGGAGAGGAAUAAAAUAUUCAAGUCCAUUUCUAUUCUUGGUUUAAUCUUUGACACUGUGGAUUCUCAUAAUGCAGAGGACCCCACACCAUCCGGUACGGAUCUUCUUGUUACUAUUGAUUAUCAAAGUACACAAGAACUCAUCACGUUGUAUAUGUUUUAACGGCUUAGCUCUGGGUUACCUUUCAGAAAUCAGUAAACUCCAGUGUUUUGAAGAUGAGCCGGUCUCUGAGUUUGACAUGGAGAAAUGUAAAAGCUGGCACAAGGAUUACAGAAAGGAGAUGUGUCAAGCGAUGCACUCUGAUGAUGAUUCCUGUGAUGAAGUAAUCCAGAAAUACAAGAAGGUAAGCUCUUCAAUUUAGUUAAUUCUAAGAGCAAACAUUUAGCCAAUAGCCUUCAUGAACCACCGGUUUUUUGUUGAUUCUAAUGCUUUAUAAACAAAUCAUUGGUUGAACGGUUUCUUCUCUCUGUAACAGGAGUUCUACGGUGCUGCAGGGUUUAAAGAAAGCAAGAGAAGUCUGGAAGAACUCUACCCAAAGGCCCUUGCACUUUACAACAUCACUUACGACUAUGCCAUCAAGAAGAAUAAUGUUAAAAGUUGUGGGUUUGUCUGGAAGGUUGCAGGUCCGGUCCUGUGCAGAUUCUACGAGAAGAAUUCAAUAAUGUGUUCGAUUUCUGUGCUGAAAGAGAUUUUCGGCUGAACACCACUGUUCUGUUCUGUUCUGGAUAACAAUAAGUAUUUGCUGUCUUCAUGUCUCAUAAUAUGCGUGUUAGGCAAGUAACUUACUUACAGGCUAAACCCAAACCAAGAUGUGUGGUGUAGUACUGGCUUUGGUUUAGUUCUAGUCUUAGAUUUGUCCUCUAGUUUACAUGUAAUUUCUUGUGUACGUAUAUUUGCUUAUGGAAUAGAAAAAAAAUAAUGUCCUUUAUAGUGUGGUGUACAAAGCUGUCUUUUUCAGUGUGACCCCCUCUCUGCAUCCUCAUGCUUCCAUUUGGAUUUUCAUGUCCUUCUUCCUUCCAUUACUAUAUGUUUCAAGAAAAGUAGAGAAAGUUUCUUCUUCACUGAACCACUGAUAUACUUUAAUAUUCACAUCAAUGCAUGCCAAUGCUCCUUUAUGGGUUUGCUCAUGAAUCUACAGACUAAGCCGAGUCAAUAAGUUACUGCCUCUGUUUGCAAUAAGAAGUGUCAGGGCAAUAUUACCUAAGAUAUCAAUACACGGUUCAUUAACAUUACCAUCAUUGUCCGGUGGAGCUACCGCAAAUUUAAACCUAAGCUGCAUGGAAUCGGAGGCGGGUACGCGGAAGCGGAAGCGUUUGGAAUCGCAGAAGCGAUUUUUGUGAAAAAUAUAGGAAGCGGGUACGUAUUGGAAGCAUUAAUAUAUAUAUAUAUAUAUAUAUAUAUAUAUAUAAAUAUCAUAAAUAUAUAAGCUUGCUUGCGUAACAAAAAAAAAAACUUAAGCUUACGAAAAAAUAAACAAAAUUGGGCUGCUGAGAAUAUAUAUUAGGGAUAUCAGAUAUGAAUGUUAAAAGCCCAAAAGAAUGGAAAAUGUAAGGCCCACAAUUGUUAAGAUUCUUCUUCCCGAUGAAAACACCGGAAACUUAAGAAAUAUCAGAUCUGAAAAUUGAAACCACCGGAGGUAACAGAUGAAUCAUGCACAUUUUAUAUGUUUCUUCUUUUUUUUUUUUGUCAAAGGGUUUUCAUUUUUAUUGACUUUUUGUGAGUAUAGAUGGAAACAACAUAAUGGGCUAAGCCCUACAAAGUGGUUACAUAAAUUUAAAAACUGAAAUUAAAGAGGUCCAACCCAGCUAAAGGGAAACCUUACCCAACUUGCAAAGAGGCCCAAUAAGCAAAAUCGAUUGGACCAAAUGCCCAAACCGAAAAAGCCCACAACCAACCCAAGCCAAAAUUAGGUCAAGCGAAGAAGCUGUUCCGCCGCCGACUGAGACAACCGGAGUCCGCACAUGACGGAUCCUGGCCAAGAUCCGUCAAGUCCCUACUCGGCCGGAGACCGAGCGACCGGAGAUCCAACGCCGGGAACCGAAACUCAAACUUGACCCUUGCUGGAGAACACAUCGGAGAAGCUUUGCCAACCAAAAGACGCCGGCCUACACACACCGGGAAUCUAACGCAGACGAAGACCACUCACCUCACUUAUACGACUGCUCCGCCGUGACCAAAGACAAAGGAAGCAAGCCUCACUUAUAUGUUUCUUCUUGCUUGUGAUAAUUUAUCAUCUAAGAGACAAAGAACCACACGCACACACCAUUAGAAAACCAAGGCAACUGAACAUGAAGAAAAAGGAGGUUGCGUUUCCGUUCAUAACACCACGCUUCCAAAUAUGAAUCGACCGAUUCCCAGACGCUUCCAAUGUGUGAUUUUUUAGAACUGCGCUUCCGUCACGUUUCCGAGCGCUUCCUGACGUUUUCGUACCCGGUUCCGGUUCCGAAGCGGGAAGCGGAGGUUGGAUGCCGAUUCCGUGCUUCCUAGAUUUAAACUGUCAUGUUUACCAAAAAAAAAAAAAAUUUAAACUGUCAUGUUUACCAAAAAAAAAAAAAAAUUUAAACUGUCAUGAUUGGUAGUUGGUACAUACACACACACAAGACAAGAAAAAGAAAACUUAGAAAAAUAAACACAUGGUUAUUAACUGGACAACGAAGAUGCUAAUAAACUGUGAACAUUUGAAGAACUCAAAAUGUUAAUUUUGGCUGAAACCAGUAUAUGAUACGUGAAGUUUAAUACAUGAACUUAUAAAUUUAAUCAAAAGAAAUUGAUAAUAGAGACUUAAUCCCGUUAGUUUGUUCCGUCAAUUGACUUAACAACGUGACAAAAAUGGCAAAAUCAAUGAAAUUUGGUAUUUAAUAUAAAUUUAAAAAUUUUCAGAGUAAGUUGAAGAUUUAAAUCAACGGAAUUAAAAAGUGGGGGAUUUUAAAAACAUAUAUUCCCAAAUAAAUUCAGUAUUUUAUAGACUACAACUUUAGCAAAGGUGCCGCUAAUCAAAAUCAUCAAACAUUAAAUAUAAGAUUUUAUAGACUUUAUUUGUUUAUUUAAGCGAAUAAAUAAAUUCAGUAAAAUAGUUUGGUGUUUUAGCAACUUAAACAAAAUUUAUUAACGCUUGUGACGUGGCCAUAUUGACUAAUCACAAGACGCCCAAAUUAAAAUUUAAAACGUUCUUUUCUUUUUCUAAAACGUGAACUAGCCGUUAUUUAGCUUUUGCGAAUAACGGUAGGAAUGUGCCACGCGUAUCAAAAGCCCUAAACGAUUUCCAUUAUUAUGCCAAAUAAGAAGAAGAAGUUUUCCAUUAUUCUCUGCGUUUCUUUCAUCGGAGACUUUGAAAAUUGCUCUGUAAGUUUCCGAAUCGAUCCUUCAAUGUCAUCUAGUUUAAUCCUGAUUUCUUUUGAAAAAUCGUUGAUUUAUCCUUCUCUUGGGUUAGUAAUUUUGUAGUCGAUCUUUAGGUUUCAAAAUCGCAUAUAAAUUCUUUCUCUUGUUUUUCUCUUCAUCGAAUCAACUAGUUAGGGUUUCAGAAUCUCAAUAAUCGCUUUUUCUUUUUAGGUUUUUGUUUUGAUUUACUCGAUUUCAGUUUGAUUCUUUGAAUUAGGGUUUCAAUUUCUGUAAUCGUUAUGUUAAUCAAAGACUUGUAUAUUUAUCAAACAAAUUUGUUUUUAUUGUUGCAGAUCAAGUUCGUAUAAGAAGACAGAGACUGGAUUAUUCUCUCAUUGAUCACAGAGAGUUUUCUAGAGGAUACUUUCACACCAAUCUACAUAAUCUCUUCAGGUAAUUCUCUGAACUGUGGUUUCCAAUGUGUUGCCUUGUGUCUGAAUCUAAAUUGGGAACAUUUGUCUCUCUUUGAUGAUCUAAAAGAUCGGAAACAAUUGUCCUGAAUCUUGAAACAUACCUUACGGCUUAAAUACAUUUGACAAUCUCAAACCCAUGGCUUUGACAAAGUUCUCGGUUCAGAGAUAAAAGCUGAUAAACACACUAUCAUGCUAUGAGCUCUUUAGCUUAACUGGUCCGAUGAGAGUUGCCUUAACCUCCGGCUUAAAACCCAUAAGGGGUAUGGGAAUUAAAAAAGAGUACAAGUACCCACGGGUUUAACAGAGUUCUUGGUUCAAAGAUAAAGCUGAUAAACACAAUAUCACGCUAUGAGCUCUAUAGUUAAACACUUAAACUGGUCCGAUGAAAGUACACAUGGCUUUGACAGAGUUCCCGGUUCAAAGAUAAAGCUGAUAAACACACUAUCACGCUAUGAACUCUAUAGUUAAAGUGGUCCGAUGAGAGUUGCCUUUAUGAUGAGACUAAAACCUGGGGCUUAAAACCGAUUUUUGGUUCAAAAACAAAGGGGUAUGGGAAUUUGCAAAAGCCCUUGAAGCUUAUAACAGACACUAGAAUUUGAAAGAAAGUACACAUGGCUUUGAGCCUUUGACAGAUGGUUUUGACAGAGUUCUCGGUUCAAAGAUAAAGCUGAUAAACACACUAUCACGCUAUGAGCUCUAUAGUUAAACUGGGAGUUACCUUUAUUGGUUAGAUUAAAACAGCUGCGGCUUCAAACCCAAAAGGGUAGGGGAACUACAAAAUCCCUUAGAGCUUAUUACACACACUGGAUAAUACAAACGAGCGUUUGUGUGGUCUACAAAGGGGUAAAGGGAAUAGAAAAAGCCCCUCUUAAGUUUCAAGUUUCAGAGGUCUCACAUACUAACUCGUCUGAUUUUUGUGAGCUCUUCAUCUAGUCCCACAGGUGUUACCUAUAAAAAUACAUACCAACGGCUUACAGAAACAAAUACCAACGGCUUACAGAAACACAUACCAACGGCUUACAAACCAAUGGCAACGACUUAAAAACACUAAAGCUUAACAUGAACCAGUGACUACUUGGUUUAAGUGUGUGCUAUAAAAUGAAAGCCAUACACACUGAGAUCACAAAUUUAAACAGGGUAUGUGCAUGAAAGGCAUAAACCCAUAUUUUACAAAUGAUGAACUGAUGCAACUUUUUAUUUUUCCAGAUAUUUUUGAAGACUCAGGAGAGAUUUCAAAGUGUCUAUGGACUUCAGGAUUGGUAUGUGUUUCUCCUUAAACUUGUAUUUAAUUCGUUUUGUAUUGUUACAUACUUAGAUCAUGGCGCAAAUCACAACCAUAAUUGAAAAUAGACUCUGCAUAACAGCCUUCAGGUACGUAAAUCGGUUUAGAUAUAAACUUAAUCAUUAAAAAUUUUGCUUCUCUUACGUACUUUCUUGGUGAUUUUUAGAAACUGUUUGAUGCAAGAAUAUGAAAUUAGUGUAGGAUAAGACAUGUGCUUCUCCUAUGUGUGUAUUCGAUUGGUUGAUAUAGUUACUAAUGUUAGAAAUCAUAAGUUAACAAGCUUUUGCUUUUGAAUACUUGAAGUGAGCAACUGAUUUAAUGGAAUGUAUUUGACAAUAACUCUUUCUUUGUGCAGGGUAGAAAGUGAAAACAUCAACUAAGAUACAAACAAUACUAAGAUACAAACAAUAUCAGAAUUAAAACCUGAAUCUGAUAAAAAUGAAGAAUUUGUUACAUUAAAUGCAACCCUGUCUUAGGUAAACAAUUUAGAUGAAAUUUAUCGAUAAUCGUUGAAAAAUAUACUUUGUAAUUGUUUAGUAUUGUUAUGAAUUAGAUGUGAGAUGAUUUUAUUGGUUGUUUAUGGUCUAUUAUGUGGAUUAUGGUUUAUGUUUUGAGGCUUGAUCAUUUUGGUUGUUGCAUAAGCCUAUGUGCUUUGACUUUGAUUUAUACUUUUUUGUAUUGGGUCGGUACAUAGUAUAUGAUUCGAACUCAUGACUUGAAUUCUUUUGGUUGUUGCAUGAUCUAUGCUUUGAAGCUAUGGCUUUGAAUCCGUUGGUUGUUCUGUGGAUUGAAGCGAUGGCUUGAAUUUGUUAGUUGUCACAUGAUUUUUACUUACUUGAAUAUAUGCAUUGUGUGGUCUAAUAUGCUAACUUGAAUAUGUUCCUUGUGUGGUUUAUGCUUUGAGCUAUGCCUUUAUUCGGUUGUUUGUUGUGUAGUCUUUGCUUACUUGAAUCUGUUGGUUGUUACAUGGUUUUUGCUUACCUGAAUCUCUAUGUUGAGUGGUUUAAUGCUAUCUUGAAUAUGUUGUUUGUUUGCGUGGUCUAUGUGUUAAUUCAAAAAAUAUGCUAUUACUAACCUUGAAAUUUAUGGUGAACUCGAAAAGAGAUGGUUAUUGAUUGUCCUUGGAAGAUUAUCUUACUUGCUUAGUAGUGGUUUGAUGUGAGAUCUUUCUUUUGUUUUGAGUCUCUGAGAAGUGAGAAAAAAAUCCUUAGUGCUCAGUUACAAUCUUCGUUGAUCAACAAUAUUUUGUACAGAUUACUACAUAUUACGAUAAUUCAUGGAUUUACAUUUUAACAAGUUAUAUUUCAUCAUCAAAUUAUCAUGCAUUAUAUGCUCAGUUCAAGUCUUUCAAGUUUGAUUGCUUUGUUAAUUUCCUAAUAGAAUUCACUAGUUUCUGGUUUUGUGUUGCGUUUCUUCGUGUCUGAAGCUAAUAUGGUGUAUGAAGCUAAUUUUGUAACCGUGAAUGAUUCUAGUUCUGGUUUCUUGAAAGAUUUCAAUUUCUUUGUUCUGCAAAGUAACUGUUUCCAGAGAACUUGUUUAGUAUGAAAUACUUGUAAACAGUUUUUAACCUUUGGGGUUAAAAAACUGGCCUUGCGAAAGACUCAUGUCAAUGUUUCCUCCAAAACAUGAGUCUUUGAAAUAGCAAAAUGGUAAUGAUUUUUUCACGGUUCUUCAACAUGUUUAGCUUUCCUUCAAUCUUCCACAGUCUUGCUUUCUUUAGGUACAUUCUUCAGAAUCUCUUGAGAGACCACAAGCUUUUUGUUCUUAGUCUUUUUCUUGAAUGUUCUCUUCUAGUUCUAGUUUUUAUGUAGCUUGUUUGGCUUGAAGUUGUCUUCUUCCUUUAGUAGACGUUAGAAUAUGGUUUAUGGGACAUAUAUAUAAAAACCAAAAACAGAACCAUAGAAACUUUUCAGUGCUUAAUAGUUAGAUGCCCUGUUCUAAAAAUCGGCCGCUUAACCGCUGAUCGGAUGGGGACCGCGGCGAUUUUGUCCAAAUCGGUAAAAAAAAUCGGUGAUUCGAUUUUUGUCCGCCUAGACGGCGCCUAGCCCAAUUUUUAUUUUUUUUUUACAUUUUUUUUUUUGGAUAUAAAAUUCAAAACGUCCCACUUAUGUUCAUAAUUUGUAUAAAAUUCAUAAAAUUGACCUUAAAUUCUUGUUUUCAUGUGUUUAAUGCACUUUUAAAAACAAGAUUAUAUAAAUUUAUUAUUUAUAAUGGAUUAAUAUGUUUUUAAAAUAUUAAAUAGCCUUAAAACUAGUUCCCGAUUAAUCCCCGUUUAAUCUUCAAUUUUUUUGCUAGGCGUUAGGUCCACUGUCACCGUCCGAGUAGCGCCUAGCGAUUUUUUAAAUAGCCUAAUGAUGUGAGGGAUCUCAUUACCCAGAGAAGCGUUUCAAACUCUGUGUGGAGUGGGGAUAAACAUUGUCAAACUCUGAUUAAUAAGCUGAUAAUCUGAGAUAAGAAUCCAUCCAAUGCCGCAUAAAUAUAUACUCAUGAGUGAUGUUGAUAAAGAUACUUUUUUUUGUUUGGAAGCAUAUUUUGCUAAAUAGUUUUAUAUUUGCGAAAUAAACACAAAAUUAAUGAUACUUUUCGAAAUACCUCAGAUAAGGCCUGUAAUUAUAGUGGGCCUCGAUAGAGGUGUCAAACGGGCCGGUCCGCGUCCAUCUGGGCCGGCCCGCGAUGGGCAUUUAAAUUUAUGAGACCGCGGCGGGCCGGCCCGCUAGGACCGCGGGCAAAAAUAAUAUCUCCAGGCCCGCCCCGCUAAGCCUAACGGGUUAGCGGGCCGGCCCGCGGGCUUAGUUUUACAUAUUUUAAAAAUAAUUAAAAAAUAAAAUUAAUUUUUAAAAUUUGAAAUUAACAAUUUUUCAAUAAAAAAACUCUUAGAAUUAAUUUUUUUGUAAAUCUUAUAAUUUUAUACAUUAAAUUUCGUUAUAUGUUCAUAUAUUUCACAUAUAUAUUUUUAGAAUUAUGUAAAAAUAUUUAUUUAUUUAUAUUAAUUAUUUAUUUUUAUUAAAUAUUUGUAGUCCGCGGGCCGCGGGCUAUCGGCCCGCUUGACACCUCUAGGCCUCGAUACGAAAUCGCCAAGAUUUACGAUUUAUCUAAAUAAGUGCCCCUUUUUCUUACAAAGUUUUUAUUUGUUUUCUGAAAUCUCCUGCACUAUCUGGUUAAGUCUCAUUUCUUUCUAUUUUCUCACAUUCUUUCUUUUGCCAUAAACAGUCAUAUGAAAUCCAUCGAUAUAUGGAUUGACGUUUUAGUUUGAAGAUUCAAUACUUCGAAUCAUGUGCUUGGUUUAUAAUUUGUUUUGUGGAUUUCAUUUUCUAGGUAGUGUGUCGAUACAUUAUCAUUUGAUUGUCUUGCAGUAAUUUUGUGUAGUUAUGAUGGACGAAUUUCAGAGUAUAAAUCAUUGCAAAUUUUUUUAAUAAGUGGGCUUAAUUUUUUUUUAUAGGCCCAUAUUGUAAAUCUCAAAUAUGUAGCUCAGUCCAUAUUCCUUGCUCCACCUAACUUUUCUACGUUGUUGGUUUAGUGAGAAUUUUUUUGUUUUGUUGAUUAAGAAAGUGGUUUAGUGAAAGCUUUCCUCUCUCUCUCUGUUAUAUGAGAGUCUAUAAAGAUUUGUUGUGAAUCCAUUACGUGUAAGAUAUAAGGAAUCUGGGAUUUCAAUUAUGGUGUUGAUCAAUUAUUCUAAAAACUAUCUCAUGGUAUAAAUAACUAUGGUUUUGUUUGUGUAAAUAAUUAUAAAUUUUUUACAUCAAAUGUUAACAAUGUUUAUCAAUAGAAGAUAAAAAAAUUUCAAUGAUUGACAUUCUGAAUGGUGACUGCAAUUGAAUAAGGAAAAUAGCAGGAAAAACAUACUAAAAACGAGAAAGUGUUAUAAAAUGAUAGUUAUCCAUUACGGAUCACUAUCCACUUUAAUUUCUCUCUUAUCUAUUGUUUACUUAGCAUGGAAGUAGCUUGAUCACCAAGUUUUUAUUCUUCUAUAUAUAUGUUGCUUUGUACGAAAGAUUAAAAGUAAAAUGUAGAGAGAAGUUGAGUAAUAAAGCUUUCAUUUCACUCUCUCUCCCUCUUUUUUUUUUUUUGUCGUCUGAAUUUUAUUAGAAAACUAUAAAAGGAUACAUGAUGAGAUAUAUAUGCCGGCGGAAAAACGAGAUAUCCCCAGAGACAAAAGCCCAAAAGAGGGAAGCAGAAGCCCUAAGUUACAGGGAAGCUAAUGAAAACGAUGAAAUAACAAUCCACAAAAAGCGAAGUGACAAACCAAGUCUAUAAACAAAUUCUCAAACAAAAUAGACUUAUCAAAAGACCUCCCAUUAUCUCCCAGAUGAGCAAAGCCAACCACAGCGGACGAAACGAGUCCGUUAGCAGCUAACGAAACCUCCUAUAGCGAAUCCAAAGUACCUCACAUAUAACUUAAUCCUAGACUUCAUAUCCAGCAAGAAAGAAGCAAAUCACAGACUAUACGAUUCACAAAUCUUCUGGAAGCGGCGUUGUCGAGAACCACGACAAUUUGACGCCUUGAUAGAAAUCUUUGAUCUGACCAGACCUCGAUCAGGUCUUGAGAGUAGAGACAAGGAGCGAGACAGAACUCCAAACCGAUGAUGCCAUACUCACACAAGAACGACAACAGACCGAAACAGGGAGCUCACAAUAAACACCAACCAAAGAGAUCUAGAUUCAUUUGUUUCCGAACGGCGUUUGUUGAUGGUCUCUUCCGAUUCCGGCAAGAUUUCCUCUCUGUGUUGCUGUCUCUUGAUUCGUAGAGGAGAUCCGCGAUUUCCUUUGAGGUCGUCGGUGGUUUCGUUCUUCUCAGCCUCAGAUCUGGACCUUGUCUAGGUUUCUCUCGUUGGUGAUAGGCGGAUCCAUUGCUUCCUUUACGACUGAGACGAGUUUGUUUUCUCUCCGGUAACUUCCGACAUCCGUGUCUUUCGUCUUUGAGUUAGUUGAGUUUAGACCCUUGUUUCGUUCUGUUGGAAUAAGUGUUAUUAGGAUGGUUUCAAUCGUUAGCUUGGUCUUUAUCUGAGAAUUAGCUGAUUGUUUGGCCCUUUCUCGUCGGGUUGUGUGUAUGGCUUAGCCGUAUGGUCCGGUUUUUGUGGCUCUCAGUCUCUGGUUCUACGCUUUUGGUGAUAGCUCGGUUUGAUGGCUUUGUCUCGCUUGUUCUCUUCUUCUCUAUGGACUUGUUGAUUCUUGCUCUCCCACUCUCUCUCCCUCGUUCUUCUCUCUUUCUUUUGUUUCUUUUAUUCUCUUUAUAUUAUAUAUAUAAUACUACUUCAAAUAUAUAGAUAUAUAUUCAUCUACUUUUAGCAGAUUUUUGUAAUAAGUUAAUAACCAAAAAAAACGCAGAGCGAGAGAGAAAAAAAAGAGAAAGCAUCGAGGGUUCCUUCGGUGGCCGCCGUCCUUCCGACGGUGGCACCGGUAGUAUAGUUUAGCUUGUUUUUUUGCUUCCUUCUCUCUUAUCUCUCAUGUGUUUCCUUUUCUCGAGUUUGGGUUGGAUUUUGUCUCAGAUCUACAUUUUUUUAUUUAGAUCUUUUCUAGAUCUAUAUCUUUUUUGGGGUUUGAUGUUCGUUUCCUCCCUCUAGAUGUUGCUGUCUCCGGUGGUUGGUAUUCAAGAAAUCAACGGCGUGCCGUUUUGGUGAGUCCACAUUCUGGAAUUUGCUCGCGACGAGGAGAUGCGGGGGUUGAGAAGGCUUUAGUUCGUUUUAGCUCUGUAAUUUUAUGAGAUUAUGUCUUUUCUGUUCUUUCCUCUUUGCUGGCCUUUCCCUAGGUCUUAAUCGAAUCGCAUCCGUCACCAUUCCUUCCAUCUGAAGGCUUUGGUGAGUCGAUUAAGCGGCUGUUUAGUCUCCUCCACACGAAGUUAAUUUCAGGUUUGGUCGAGACCUGUUUGUUUGUGCUGCCUCCUAACCGGUUCGACAUUUGUUUCGAAUUCUCCGGCCCCAGGCAGUUUCGUCGGUCUUGUCAAUUAUCCUUUGAAAGAUUCGUCUUGCCUUCCCAAGGAAGCACAAGUUUCAAAUUUCUGAAGUCUACCUACAUCAAGCGAGGACAAGUAGAGUUGAAGCCACGGUUGGUUAUUGUCGGUGUUCCACCAUGUCUAAUCGUUUUCCGCUCUCGGGUUUGGACCAGUUUUUGAGUUUUGAAUAGUUUUGUUUGCAUAUCUCAUUUAAGAGCUUUUGGUUGUAUAAGAAUCUGUUUCCCGUGUAGUCGGGCUUUGUCUCUCGAGAUUCCGAGCUUAGUUUAGUCGGAAUCUGCGGGCUUUGGUUCUCGAAAUUCCGAGCUUAGUUUAGUUGGAAUUCGCGAGCUUUAUCUCUCGAAGUUCCGAGCUUAGUUUAGUCAGAAAUUGCGAGCUUUGAUUCCGGUGUAUCCGGUUAUGUAUUCCUCCUAUGUAUCCUUCCCUUGGUUCUUAAUAUUACCAGACGACAAAAAAAAAAAAAUAUUCAUCUACUUUUAGUUGUUAUUUAUAACAGAAAGCAGUUUGUCCGAAUAGUAAAGUAUAAAGAAGAUGGAAUCAUAUAAUUAAAGUACACGACGUGGCAUGACAAAUUAAAAUGUGACGUGGAUCUUAGUCAGUAUCUAUUAUCUAUGGUUAUUUACUUGAUGAUAAAAUAUUAUUCAAAGCAAUGGACCAAACUUCGUGUGUGAUGGUUACUGCUCGCCGUCUGACUGUCGUUAAGGCAAGCAAAAGCGACAUUAAUUAUAAGUUUAUAACAUAACUAGGACGCGCUUAGCCCAAUUUUUUUAUUUUACAUUUUUUUUAUAUAAAAUUCAAAAUGUUCUACUUAUAUUCAUAAUUUUUAUAAAAAUCAUAAGUUUGACCUUAAAUUCUUGUUUUCAUGUGUUUAAUGCAAUUUUAAAAACAAUAUUAUAUAAAUUUCUUAUUUAUAAUGGAUUAAUAUGUUUUUAAAAUAUUAAAUUACCUUAAAACUAGUCCCCGAUUAAUCCCCGUUUAAUCUCCGAUUUUCUUGUUAGACGCUAAGCCCACCCUCACCGUCUGACUAGCGCCUAGAGAUUUUUUGAACAUGGGUUAGAUGUUACACAUAUGAUGAUGUCAUCAGUUCUGUUUUCUGGUGAUCAGAUUUUAGAAUGUGGUAUUCUUGUGUUUAUAUCGCAAAUUGAAUGUGG